AGUAAAUGGUGACAAUAUAAUGACUAUCCCCUUGUCUUUUGUCUUUUUGUGUGAUGCCCUUCAGUUGGGUGACUUUAUCUGAUGGAAUUUUGAACACAUUUAUAAUGUAUCUGAUAUGGAACGUACUUUUCUUUAUGCUUUAUUCUAUCUGUAGCAUAAUUUGAUUAUAUGACAUAACCCUCCUUGAUUAACACUUAUAUUCCUUGAAAAAACUGGAGUCUUGUUUCAGGACAGGGAAGAGAUUUGCUGUAAUCAGUCUGGUAUUGCCUUUUUUCUUGGAAACCUAUUUGAAAUCCUAGUGGUUUAGGAUCUGAAUUAUACUGUUUUCAGUGUAGCAUCUUCAUAUUUGCUGAUAGGUAUAUAAGUAGGGUUGCCUAUCAUUCAUAAUUUAGGUAAGUAGAAUGAUGAUAGGGUCCUAGGACAGUGGCUUCAAACUGAGAGGAAUCAAGAAAGAUAACUCAGGAAAUGGAAGGGAAAAUUAGAACUGAAAUAGAGAAGAAAGGAGGUAGAGGAGAGCUUCCAAGUCAGUGUCGGGGGUGAGUUCGAGGGCCGCUUCAAGCUCUCCCACUGACUUCUUGUAAGUCCCCCAACAGUAGGGAGCCCUCAGGGUCCUACCCAUCCACUUAAUCGGCUCUUUGUCCCAUUGGCCCUCCUGUAUUUUACUGGCGUAAGUCGCCUGGAUAAUGGGCCUGGUAUGUUAGUUGCUUUGAGAUCAAGCCUUCUGCACGUCUCUGAAGAUGCAUAUGUUAGGAUAGAAUAUACUGUAACUGUUUGGUUGAGGUUCUUACUAGAUCCUGAUAGUGUGUAUGUAUAGGAAAUGAGGAAACUUUUUUUGAUUGCAAGAUGGGUUUACCUUUUGGGAAUUGGAAGGAUAGUGCGUUCCAGGACAUAUUGUUUAGUUUCUUAUUUUGGUGCGAGUAGCUUAGGGCCUUUUUGAGAGAAAUCGGUCCAAAUUAAUUAUUCCAGUUUCUUAGAUUUAAGCAUUACAUGCAACAAUGCAGAGGAGCUUUGAUAUGCAGUUUAAUAAAUUGCUUGCUUCCCCUUUUCAUUUUUCUAGCAAUUGUUUGUAGGGUGGACCUCUGUCAUCAGGCUAGUGAUGAAGAUGAUGAAGAAUAUGAUAGCUACACCGAAGCUCUGUUGGAAAAGGCAGAAAACGAAGCAGGUUCUUCACAUGUGGAUACUCGACGCAGAUUUUGUUCAUUCUGUUCAAGUCAUAUUGGAAACCGUCAAAAGUUUGUAAUCCUGGUAUGCUACAAAAAUGUUUAUUUGUUAUAUUUCCACGUUAUUUUUGCUUAAGUUUCUUGAAAUUUGUGUUGACCAUCUUGAUUGGAGCAUAAAAUGGUGUUCUACUUAACGUUAGUUGUACUGUUGUUGUAGGUGAUUGUGCUGACAUUUCUUUUCAUGAUUGCAUUCGCAAUGCUUAUCUGGGUUGGGAAAGGCAAAAACCCCAUUGACUCCUCACUUAUGGCUAAGGUAAGAAGUUAUUUUCCCACAUGUGGCUUACACUUUUUUCUAUUGCAAAUUGAAAGAUGAGGAAAGACAGAAUGGUAUCUUUUUAUGAACUUUUGAGUUUCGUGUGCCUAAUAAUUUUGUCAGUUUUCUAUGAUCCAAAUGUGUUAUAUUUCGUAACAUAUUUCUUGUGAACAUAUACGGUUUUAUAUCUCCUAAGAGGCAAUCAAUAUGGAACUCAUGUUCUGGCUUUACUGGAAGCUUUUGAUACAGAUCGUAAUGAAAAGGUCAUAUGUUUCUCUCGGUUAAUUUGUGAAAUAGGUGAUGACCUUUCUUCCCAUCUGAAUUGUUCCCCCACGUACCUUUCUUCCCAUCUGAAUAUGCCCAUUUUUGAUAUUUUACAUUUUAUAAAUUUUAAUUCGCAUACACUUUCUUCUUAAAUAUACAGCAUCUUUCUUGUUUCUGUUUCUGUAAUAAAUUUUUGUCUAAAUGUUUUAUAAUGCCAUCAUAGCUGCUAUGUGAAUACAAGUAUCUAAUAAUGAAUGUCACAUGCACCUUUAUGUUACGCCAGUUUUUCUAGAUGUGUCUGGCAUCAGCCAGUAUUCGUAUAAAAGCUUUUCUUGUAGAUGUUUCUGUUCAAAUGGUUUUUAACUAUCUUUUAAUUACAUCGAGCUCAUACUGUCCAUUAAAUCAGAUUUCUUACUGGUUAUAUUACUGACCUUGAGUGUACUAAAUUCCUUAGUUGAUCAAGAGCUCUUUAAUCCGUACAAAAAUUUGUUUUUUCAGUCGAAACCAGGUAUAGGUGUUAAAUGUUGUGUUAUGAGUUUCUUAACGUUUGUCAUUUUUAUUUGCUUUGACAUUUCAGUUUUAUCUAUUGGAUGUAUAAUUCCUGAUUUUGUUUGCUUUGUAACUUAUCUUAUGCAGGUCUAUCUAGAUAUCUUUUCCGUAGCAAUUUUUACUCUAGGCGGGGCUUUGGCUUGUUAUGGUAAGGAAAUAUAUUCUCAAUGGUGUAAAAAUCACAUAAAUAGUAAUUCAGCUAUUCUAUGUAGUCCCAUAACUUUGUAUACGAUGAAAGUUCGUUUAUUUUCCAAGUACAUCAAUAUCCUUCAAUAACUGAAACUUUUCGAAGAAAAAAAAUGCCCUAGCCACAAUAUCUCGUCUAUACAUCUGUUAUCAUGCGUCAGUAUUGCAAUACUCCUGAAUUGUCUGAAAUUGUCUAAAGCAUGACGUGUCCUAGCCUGGAAUCGUCUGAGCUUGGCUACGUUUAGGUGACAGUUGUAGACCGCCAAAACUAAUAUCCAGUUGACAGUAGGAUAUGCCUUGCUUGAGAGGGCUUCUUGGAGGUUUCUUCUGAAGGUAGAAAAUCCAUCAGUAAAACAAAAUUCACAGCUACAUCAAGGAUUUAGGUCAAUGGUCAAGGAGAACAUGCAACCCUUAAAUCCAUCGUGUAAAAUUGAUAAAUUCAUAGAUUCUUCUAACCCAGAACCCUGGUCUUAGUGCAAUACCUCUGAUCAUUUGGUUAAAUUCGAUCCCCAUCAAAAUCAGUGAGAUAAGUACUUUUUAACUGUAUUAGAAGGAUUUUGUUGCACACGUUUUGGAUCAGAGUAUACCUGCAAUAAAAGACAUAAUCAGAUUCUUAAUUUUUAAGCAAAGAGUUUGCUCUCCUAAUUUGAGAAAGAUAUUUAAAAUAUGAAAUUUCUUAUAUUUUUUGUAUUAAGUUUAAGAUUAUAACUCCAAUAGGCUUGGGUUAUUUUGAAAGAGUGACCUUGCUUAAUGAGAACUCUUCUUUAGAGCUCUGAUACCAUUCACCUAGGCUGAUUUCCCCACCAUGGAUGACUCUUCUACUAGGGUGUAUGUUCUUAAGCAACAUAAAUUUAGAAACACAAACAGGGCGAUAUUUUGGUCUAUGAAGCCCCAAUGCAACGAUUGAUUACCUUAGCUUGUGAUGUUUUUAAGUUUCCAAAGCAACAGCUUGUUCCCAGGAUAGACUACAUUUCUCUCUGUAAAGAGGCUCCCUGAAAACGUUUGAACGAAUCUGCUAUUCAUUUAUCUCAAUUUAUUUGUAAAGCUGCAGGUUUUUGGUUGCCAUUGAUUUCUAGCUCCCACUUAUUUCUGCUCAGCCUAAUUUUCCAUUGGAUUAUGAGGCCAUUGAAAUGCUUAUCCACUGCAAAUCUGGGAGCUGUAUUCUGCUUGGAUAGGGCUCAGUGCUUCGGAUGAUGCUGUACUCUUUCUGCUUGUCCCAUAAAUGAGAUGAUUUGAACUGCCAUCCAUUUAUUUUCUACUUCUAUUGAUUUUAGUGAUUUGAUGAGUUAUUACUUUGCUACACGGGGAGUAAGCAGAAGUCUACCUUUGAUAGUGAAUGAUAUACACAAUGAAUCUAUGCAGUUUUUUUACCCUUAGAUUAUAACAUUCUUCUUCUUAAAUCGUGUGAUAAGCUGUGUUCAAAUUUUGUGGUUGUCCCAUAUAGGAGGGCUACUUUUCUCAAAAAUGAGCAAAGUACGGUCUGAAAUGGCUUCAACAGAAAUGUGGAAGGUAUCUUUUUAUAAUCAUUGAAAAUUAUAUUUUCCAGUUCAGAUGAGGCAUGAAUGAAUCUAGUUAUUUCCAUGUAAAGGUAUUUCCGAUUGAAAGUUUAUGGGAAUUGCAGGAUUGAAAGUUUAAUUUGGCACUAUGCAUCUUAGUUACCAGCCGUUUUUACUUGUUUCUUCACCUCACUCUGGUCAUUUAUUGUGGUUUGUGUAACAUCUUUUCUAUUAACAGGUUGCCAGUUUGGCUGCUGUGACUCUUGUAUGUUUUACGACAAGUGCACUAAUAGCUCUUAUUUCUAAUGUUCCCGUAAGUUCUUCAUCAGCAUUUUUUUAUUUAAUUUCAGGUAAACGUAAUAUUUCUGAUUUGGUUUAAGUCUUCAUUUCUUGCCGUAGGUUCUCUAUGACCACAAACCAGAUGCAUAUAGAAGAAGCAACCCGAUUCCAUUAUUUCUAUACUAUUUUGUUGGUAAGUUUACAUAUUUUCAUUGAACCUAUGUUAGUGACCUGGUAUCGGGGUUGAGCAUAAAUAUGAGAAUGUUCAAUGCGUAUAAUGCUUCAGCUGUAUUGCCACUUUACAUGGUCAGGAUUUACUUUUUGCUCUAUGCUUCGUUACAUAUUACAUGUAUUCUUUGGCACCCAAGUUUAUCUUUGUUGUGAACAGUGGCACGAACCUUAGGAGGAUAUGCAGACGAAAAGCUCAAACUCGUAUUCACAUCAUAGAUGACUAUUAUAUUCAAGUGCCAGCGCCAGAAAACAAGGAAAAAAAUACGUAACAAAUAGGGAAUCAGCAAACUAGCAAACGAACCAACAAACCAGGAAAUGGUCCAACUAAGAGCUGAACUCCUAGUUAUACAUUCUUUUCCAUAAUCUUCCCAAAACGAAUUUGAAAUUGUAUUGAAGCUUGGGUUUCUUGGAAAUAUUCGGUAUUAUUAUUCCAUUCAUUGCUUAGGUUCUUGAUGCUGCUCCAAAUAGUUGCAUGAUAGGAACAAUCUUCAAAUAUACGGGAACUUUGGACUACAUUGGCCCUUUAUUGUAGAUUGUUGUGGUUAAAGGUUCCUAUUAUCCUCUGUACUACGGAUGCUCUGAAAUUGAGUAACUGGAAGGAUUGAUGGCACUGCUACACUUGGGUAUCUACAAGAGUCACGGUAGCCAUUGAACAGUCAAGCAGGUUUCUAGCUGGAAUACUAUAUAAUCUCCAUUAAAGAUGAUAAAUUCUACGUAUGUUUUGGCCACCGUGGUUUCUUCCAGGGUUGGACAGUUAAAUAAAAUCCAAUCAUUACUCGUACUCUUCAUCCUGCACACUCUUUUUUCUCGAUCUGCCACUGAGCUCCGUUUUCUCUUAACAUAGAUUUUGGUGUUCGCCUUGCUCCUUCCCAAACGUACUGCAUUAUUUCCUGUUGUCACCUUUGUUGCUGCCCAGCUUUUAUUUUCCACCAUCUAUGCCAUCGCUCUGCUUCGAAGUAAGUCUUUUAGAAAUGUGGGCUCCUUAGAUACACACCCUGAUAAAAUUUUAGUUGCACUUUUCCUUCUAUAUCAUCCUCUAAAGUUUGCACUACUGUGCGCCAUUUCUUCUAUUGGCUCCUGUUGGCCGGUCUCUGGUUAAUUAUUCACAAGUGGGCAUUAUGCUUGCCUUUGCUCAUACUACAGCAUGUCCCCGUGAUGUGCUCUUCUUACCUCUUCUGAAAAUGGCUUUCCUUGAAUACCCCAUGAGGCCCCCAUUGUCCUUAUUUGACCUUUUCCUCUCUCUCCCAGGUUCAACGCUGCCCUCGGUGUUCGUGCUCUGGAUAAUGCGAGAGAUGCCUCGGCAGGUGAUUGACAGAGAGGCCCGGUCAAGAGUGGUGACUUUCGUCAGGGAGAGGUCGUCUUCAAAGCAUCACCCACAACCCUGGACUACAGCGACGACGUCAACAAACCAGGUCCGGUCCAUCGUCGCUAGAACAUCCAAAGAUCCAUUUGGGUGUCGCUCAAAUGAUUCUGGUUGAGCGAAUCAAUUCUCGCAUGUGUGUGAACUUAUCCUCUGCAGGCCUCCAGAGCAAGCCCCGCAUGACAUGCAGCCUCUCUCCCUCGAUUUUCCUUCAUUUUGGAGGCUCGAGCUGUGCGCUGCCUGCCUGCCUGGCUUGAGCCUCUGAGUCUGCCAAUGGCCGCGUGGAGGUUGAGGCGUGGAUCCUGGCUGAAAAUGGCAUCCAGCCCAGGAAGCUAGAUCCAUUCUUCUUCACUUUCCUGAAUGAUGGAGCGAGCCUGUUGAGCCCCUGAUCCCCAGAUUUGUGCCAUCGUUCAUAAUCUCUGAAAGGUCCUCAGUAGCCCCACGUCAGUGUAAAUAUACCUAAUCAGCCACUGUGAUUUUUUAUGGUGGGAUACAUUCUUCUCCCUUUUACUUUGUUAAGGUUGUGGAUCGCUCCAACUGUUCAAUCCCAUUUGGGUAUUUCCGAUAUGCAUGGAGCUCUUACUUCUUACUAGUUGUCUCUUAUGUUGGUCAUGAGCUUGGAGGAGAUGGAGAGAGAGGCCAAGAGUAGGUAUAGCAUAUUGUAGAGGGUGAUUAUUGUAGAGCUUUUAAGAGGGGGAUAUGGGGAGCAUGAGCUAGUUGAUAUAUUUUUUACCUCUUGACUUGAGUAUUUCCUUCAUGUGUGACUUGCAACUUGUCACAAACUUUCUUCGUUGUCUUGAAGGUCAUUACUCUAUUAUAUUCUUUUACAUCUUAGCCCAUUUGUGAAGAUGUUUUUGGCUUUGGUAUUGAGGGAUAAAAUUUUCCCACAUUGAUUUAUGAAGAGAUAUUUAUUAACUGUUAUUGGUCUAUCUACAAUAAUCUCUCAUAGUUGAUAAUUCAUCUCCUAAAUAAAUAAUUUCAUUUUAUUUUUCUAAAAAUCAUAAUUUGUUCCAUUCAAUAGGGGUGGUUGAUGUACUGAUCCUCUUUCUAAAUUGUAUCAUAAUGUGUUGGCGAUUGAAUUUACUCAAAGAAAUUUCAUUCUUGUAAUCUAAAAGUAGACUCUAAUAUCACUUGUUGGGAUUUAGGUUAGUAAAGAUCAAGAAGAGGGGUGAAAUUGAUCUGCUCGUUUUUUCUUUAAUAGAUUUAUUUCUAUGAUUUUUUUAUCACUUUUUUAUUAGACUGAUUUUAGUGGGUUGUGAAUGUGGACUCACAAUUUAAAGUGGUUCAACAUCGGCUUAUCUUCACUCCUAAGGACACUUCAUGUUAUUGGGUUUCACUUAAUGAUCGUUCAUAUUAUAACCACUUAUUCUACAAGUUAACUCCUUUAGGAUUUCAUCAAGAAACCCUCUUCUAGAUUUAUGGCUCUAGGAAAUCUUACAUCGUUAUUUUCACUUGACAACUCCUCAAGUGAUUAGAUAAAUAAUCACUAUUUUAACUGACAAAUAUAAAUCAAUAUCACUCUAGGUUUAUUUGGAGGAUAUGCUUUGAAGCACUAGCUUUUUGUAAUAGUAGAAGACAAAUAUACAUAUGCUUGAAUCUUUAUUUUCUUGUUAUUUUUGUCAAUUGUCACAAUAAUUUGAAGGUUUGUCAUAAGUUCGGCUUGAAGAUAAAGAAUAUCUUGAAUGCUCUCCUCAAAAUGAUUUCUUUUGAAUCAAUAAAUAGCUAGUUGACCCAUCCUCUCUCUCUCUUUCCUAUGAAUGCUUUACAUGAGGAUUACUAAAUACAGGAAGAAUAUAUAGAAGAAUAAAUAUAGUCAUUAAUGAUUGUUUAUUUCUAUUGGAGAUCAGUGAUAUUUAUAGAUAAAUUGUGUAUACGUUAUUUAUAAAUUUUCUAGGAUAUCUAAUGACUAGAUUCACUUAAAAUAUAAUUAAAUUUGAAACUUAUAUUAAUCCAAUAUAACAUGGCCUUUUGUUGUUUUGAAUAUUUUCUAAAGAAACUACUACAUGAAUCUUUUAACACAAUGUUUGUAUCUAAUGGUAGUCUAUUCAUAGAAACUUGAUAAGCAUCUAAUAUACAUUGUUAUGAACUCGAUAUGAUGUCUUACAUAAGUAAUAAUUUAUUGAAUUAAAUAAGAUAUGAGAUGUAAAUAUGCUUUGUAUUCUUCAAUUUCAAUGUCUCAAAUCAUGUUGAUAUUGGUCUGUAUGAUUUUCAAUAUAUAUUUAGAAAAUCCUAUUUGAUGAAUUCAACACUCAGAUUAAUCAUACAAUUAACUUGACAUGAAAAUCAUUCGAUUGUUAUAAUGCAAAGUCAUAAGUUUGUACAAAACUAAAUAAGCUUCCAUACUAUUUUUUUACUUUACCAAAUCUCAUUGAUUUGCUUAUUCAAAUCAUUACUCUUUUAACUGUUAUGAUUUCUAUAUAUAAUGACAUUCUCAUAUAACGACAUACAAUAUGAUUGAUUUUCAUAAUAUUAUGAUUUGAUUGUUCAUAUACAUAUCACAAGUGUUUUAUAUUUAAUAUAUUUUCACUUGUAUGCCCGAAAUCAUAACAUUCAUACUUUAUGUAUAUAUUUUCACAUAUUAGAUUAUAAUGAAUAUUAUAUAUAUGAUGUAUUUAUCUAUAUUUAUUCACAUAGGUUUAUUUUUGAAGUAUAAUUUGCUAAUUAGAUUAUUCUUAAUUGAACUUUGGUGAUUUUCUCAUCAUUAAGAUAUGAUGCCUCCAUAGCUCCAACAAUUCUUACUAUAAUAUAUGUGUUAACACAUCUACUAACAUAUAAAUAAUUUGAAUAGAAAUUUUAAAAAAAAUAAAAUCUUUUAAAAACCUCAAUUAACCUUAGUUUUAACAUUUCAACUAAUCUUAGUAUUGAAAUAGACUUUGAUAUUAGGUAUCCAACGUAUGACUAAAGAGAAUAGAAAGUCAACCUUAUUAUUCAAAAAGAAAGGAACAUCAAUAACCACUUGGAUAAUAACAAGGUUUAAAUUAUUAGAUAUGGCAACAUUAGUCUCAAUAAUCAUAUUUCAAGUGAAAAUGUAGUAGUUGUAAAAGGUCUAAUACACAAUCUAGCAAGUCUUAGUCAAUUGUAUAAUAACAGAAACAAAGUAGAAGUAAUAAAUGAUAGUUGUUGUCUCUUAAAAUUUGAAAAUAGUAACCACAUACUAGUCGAGUAAGAGAGAAUAGUGUAGAUGUUUUUCAUUUGCAUAAAUUAGUUUUUUUAAUGAAUGUUUAAGAACUAGUUAUUCUAAAAAUGCACUGAAAAUUUGGCAUAAACAUUUAUAACAUGUGAGCACUUUCACCAUAAAGAAAUUAUAGAAAUUAUAUUUAGUGAAAAUAAUUUAUGAAUUAAAAAUCAAUAAUUACUUUGAGUAUGACACAUAUUAAAGGAAAAAAAGUUAAAAAAUUAAUAUAUCAAAAUAUAUGAUUGUGCCAAGUCAACUAUUGUAAUUAUUGCAUCCAAAGUCCCAUGAUAUGGAAAAAGUUAUGAUAUUAUUUUGGGAACACAAUGAUUCAGCAUACAAAUUGAAAAGAAAGAUUUAAAAAUCCAAUGAUGAUUUUAAGUAAAUUAUGAAUGAUUAUUAUGGAGAUUUUAGAAGUAAAAUAAUUUUAGAAUCCAAUGAUGAUCAAGAACUUUUUUUGAACGUUUUUGUCUUAGAACGUCCAAACAAAGUGGAGUUGUAGAAAGAGAGGAUACAACUCUUUUAGAUAUAUCUAAGACCAUGAUAGAAAAAAAUAAUGUUUUAUUAUUAUUGGAUUGAAGCUAUAAAUAUUGUAUGCUCCUUUAAGAAGAGAAUCACGAUCAAGUCUAUAGUGAGAGAAAACGCUCUAUUUUUUUAGAAAAUAUUAGUUAUUUUGUUAUCUUUUGGGUGCAAGUAUUAUAUUGUUAUAAAUGCUUCAAAGGAAAUGAGAAAUUUGAUAUAGGGACUGAUAAAGAAACUUUAUAAGACUUUUUUAAAGUUAUAUCACAAUUUAGAAUUAGUUAGUUUCUGAUCUAAUUUUUGUAUUGUAAUAUUAUUUAGCCCAUUUUUUUCUGAAGUUAUAAUUGAGUCCCUAUUUGUUGUACUAAUCAAACCUGAAAAGUUAAAAAUAGUAAAUAUGAAAAAUUAUGACAUUGUAAAUAGAAAGAUUAGUUGCUUUGUCCAUGAUAAAAGUCAAAUAUCCCUGACUCAAAGAUUACGACAUUGAAAUGGAAAAUUUCAAUCCUAUUUGUUUGUACUAUUCAACUAAAUAUUCCUAAUAAUUGCAUCGUAUGCUAUAGAGCAAAUCAUAUAGCUGCAUAACAUCAUUUUGUUAUAGAUGAUGUGAAUAGAAAUGAUAUACAAUUACAACUUUCUACAAACUAUAACAUAAAACUUGACAUUUCUAGUGGAAGAAAGAUACAAUUUAGGAAACAUGAAAAAGAUUGAAUAUGUAGUGUUGCUAAGGUACAAUUUGAAAUUUUCUAUAGCUUCAAUAUAAUUAUCUUUUGAUUAAAUAACUUCUAUGAUAAAGGCUCUAAACAUAUCUGCUGACUUUAAAAGUACUAAAUCAUUGUUUUUAAACGAUUAGAACUAUUGUGGCUAGAAGAGUUGAUGUAACCUAUAUUCCGGCCCUAAAUUCACCUGGCCCAUAGUAAAACGUGCCUUAAAUGCAUUAUAAAUUAAUUUCCCUUUUUAGUCAUUUUGAAUUUAAUUAAAUGUGUCUUGAACUAAUUUUAAGGUAGCAUAAUAAUAGUGCUAUUUUCUUCAGGGCAGCCUAACAAACUUUCAAAAUAUUUAAAUUUCCCAUGUCAUAGAGGUAUUAUUUAGUAUUCAUGAAGUAUCUAUUUUGGAUAUUUUACCUCAUUAUCGGUUGCUUAUGGUCCCUCUCUUGUGGAUUCAAGUGAACUAUUUUGAUAUUGUAUAGUCACAAUCACCCAUUAUGGAUUUAAACGUCAAAUCAUCUUAGUUUUAAUCAUUUAGAGUGAAGAAUCUUCUCAAAAAUUUUGUUUUCUGUGAAUUCAAGGAUGAGAUUUCAUCUCUACUCAACUCCAAAUGUGUAAAAAAUGAACUAAGUUUAAUGUAUGUGAUUAUUAUAUUUGUAUGCACACACAUGUCAAUCUUGGAAAAAUGUCAACACAAUACUUUUGAAUAACGUUAAGUAGAUUACAAGAAAUAUGUUCCACGUUACUCACAAUUUUAGCAGGAUGCAACUUCCAAGGCUAUAACCUAGUAUUAUUUUCUGGUCUAAGUUGGUAAGUUGUAGAUGUAUCUCAGUUACACUUGCUACGAUUCUCUAAUGUCAGGUGAGGGGCUUGAGAACUGGAAGAGCACGGCUAGCGUAGUCGUCAGUGUAUUUUAGUCCGAUGUCGUGGACUUCACGCAGUUGUCGAGGGCAAUGAGGUCUGGAUCCACCGUGGGGCUGCUGGCGAAAUCCUAAAAAUUGGGUCUUUAUGAAAAUUGAAGUUCCGGACUGAAAGACUUGAAGGCGUUGGGGGUUUUCACAGUGAGUUUGUGAAACCUUCCUGUUUCGGCACAAAUUACCGGGUUUGGGCCGGAAAUACCUCCCGCGACCUGCUUGCCCUGCGAGAAGUUGGUCUGCCCCGCUCUCUUCCCCGUCGCCCCCUCUUCUCUCGCCCUCUCAGAAGCCUCAUGCUGUUGCUGGCAUGUUUACAUCUUACUCUCUUCGGUCUUCUCCAUCAUAAUUUCUUGCCGGGGCUUAUCCCCGGUCGAGCGUUCUGUACUUCUCCGCUCUCUGAGGCUUAGUAUCAUCCUCGAAGGUGUCAUCGCCACUCAUUCGUUCUGCAUGGGAACCUCGGUGACGUUAAGCUGGAGUUAUUUCUGACGUACGCUCGGUACCCGCUCAUAACUGUGGCGCGUCUCGAUUUUCAUAGAGAGAUCCCCAGGUUUCACUCUUCAACCAUUUUGUGAAUGCAGUAUUCCUAAAACUGGUUAAUUUUUGCUUUUUGAGAACGACCUUUCGGAAGACGUAAGUAAUUUUCUUAUAGUUCCCAACUGAAUAGCCAAUGCAAUUUCCUGCACAGUUCAUUGUCUGACAUUCUUAAACCUGUGCAUUAUAUCUUAUAAAAAGUGCUGCAUAAAUACCAAAAAGAGAACAGCCUAAGAGGGAUUCAAUAAACGACUCCAGCCAUCUUUGCUCAUAAGCAUUUUCCAUUACAUUGUUUGGAAGUGGAAGAGCCAUCUGACUAAGAUUCACCAUGGUUGCUAUUCUAUUGAUCUUUUGGCAAAAUAGUGCAAAUUUUCUCUCCCAUUUCGUGAAAAAUGGGAGAGAAAGAACUUUAUAUUAAUUAUUCAAAUGACAGAAAAAAACUUAUUUAGGAAGAAUGCACAUGUUUAGCAGACAUGUUGCUACUUCAUGCUAUGUCUUGAAAACCGUUUUUCCUGUUGUUUCUUUGAAACGAAAAUUUUGAUCUCAUCUUCUAUAAAAUGGACUGCUAUGGUCGAAAGACAACCCGUUGAUGAUUCUCAGUCAUGGCUGUGCAGCAGUUUCCAUGAAAGACAUUACUCGGACAUUAAUUUCAAGCAACCGGAUGGACUUUCCUUCCUGGACAUCGCUCAUACGGGAGAUUGAGGAAACAUCCGCUGUAUGCUUCAUUCUUCCUUUGGCGUCAUUGUUAUAAAGUUUCGUACAGACCAUACAUUUCAAAUAUGUUUAAGAAUAGUUACUGAGAAAUCAUAAAUGCAGUGAGAAAAUGAAAGAUGAAGUACUCAACUUAUGUCUCAUUGUUCACAUUUAAAGCUAUUUAACUAAUGUGAUGCAGGAAACCAGUAUAGCACCGGCGAGCUUUACAUUGUUUAGUCAUCUAGGUCUAAUUUUGCGUUAUACCUUUGUCACCUUCUCUGUUUUAUAGACUCUUAGGCUGUAGAAAGCACAUUCAAUACCAAGAAAGCCCUUACAGAGAGAGUCUGACAAAGCAGACCGUCCAUUGAUGACAAUUUACCUUUUCUAAUUGAAACAAGAAACUUACACGGGCUGGAUCCUUGUUGAUAUCUAAUUUUUUGGCAUAUUGGUUAUGCGAUAGCAUUGGCUUUAGAAUAAAAACCAUAGGUGCGCGAAGCCAAGUAUAAGCUCAUGAACAUAUAGCUGUUGAAUUUCUUCACAGUACCUACUUGGGUUCUCACAGAUCUUCAAGGAUAACUUAUUAUACUUGGCAGGAGGAAUCCAGUAUAUGAAGCCUUUGAAUGGGGUUUAAAAACACAAUGGUUCUUGGCUAUGAUUUUAACAUUCAAAAUGUCUCAAGCUUAAAGAACCAAAGAAAAAAUCUCUCAAAUGCAUCAAUGUUCUCUGAAGUCUAUGGGAGUCUUCAAGUCCAAUUAUUUUGACCACUCUUUGUGGAAUCUGUAAGUCUAUUCUGGUUGAGUGAGCUUUGCAGUAAAUAAGGCUUUGCUUAGUUAUAAAAGAUUGCAUAGUACAAUAGGUUCGGUCUAUUUGUUUAUAAUUGUUAAAUUGACGUGAGUACUGCAGAAAAUAUCACUCUCUGGGCUCGACAGUGGAUGUGAAUCACUGUUAGCAGGUUCCCUAAUUGGUUUUGAUUAUUAUUAGCAAUCAGCUUUUUUUGUACUCUGUACUUAGCACGAGCAAUUCAUACUCACUUCUUAUUGAUAAUGUUGGUGAUUAGGUAUGGCGGAAUAUAGAUAGUUAGAUCCACUUUAGACCCUCCGCAGCCUUUUUCUAUGCAGCAUGAUUAAUAAAUAAAGUCUGGUAGGUUUAACGCAUGCAACUUGGAUGGUAUGUAGUGCUUCCAGUGGAAGACUGGUGAGUAAGGUAUAAGAACGUGAGAGAAGAACAAAUCACCGAUCAACUUUUCCUAAGAAGAAUUGGUUUUAGCCCAUGUGUUGACUGGCCAAUGCCCAUAAAACUACAACUUCAAAGCAGUAGGGAAUGCACAGCACUCUGCCUGGUAGUCUGCCUACCAUAGCCUUUAAAUCCCCUGAGGGAGUCCUCAUAAUUUAAGUUUCUCAUAAAUUAUAUUACUUUUCUCUGGCUGUCUUGAUGGGGCCCCCCCUUUUAUCUUGUACACGGGCUAAGACAUAUUCCCCUUAUGAUAUCCCCACAGUGGAAACACUGCUGCUAUUGCAACGGCCCACCCACGGAAGCCAUCAUGUGGUCAGUCUCGCCUGGUUCCUUUUGCUUCUUCCUAUGUCCACCUACUGCUGUCAUUCGUGGUCCAUGGACAGUGCCAUUGGAUCUGAAAGUAACAUGCAAGGAACUGUCAUGCCACACUGACAGCUCCUUUUUGACAUGAAUCGGCUUUUGUGAUCUAUUCAAUGAGAUCAUACGUUGGGCUGUUCAUAUGUGAUGAGAAACUUGUCUGGUCAAGUUGGGAAAAUAGUCAAGUUGAUCUCUUACUUUUUUGAUGGCAAUUAUUACUAUAGGUAUGAAGCUGCAAGUUCACAAAGAUGGUGGACAAUGUAUCCCCUGGAGGUUGUAAAAUACUGUAAAAAUUGUGGAAAAUCAAGGAAUAUUCAGUUUACACAUCGCACUAUUGACUUCGAAAGACAGGAAACAAGUAUAUGAGUUGGAGGUAGUUGGUGUCAAAGUGCUCACUGAGACCUUUGUUAUCUAGGAAGCUGCUUGAUAUGGAUAUCAGUUCAUCAGGACUUGUCCAUAGCGUGUAAUUUCUGCUGAUCAGAUCCAAGUUUUGCACAUCUAUGGUGAAAUCAUUGCUUAGGUGAAAGCCCAGUGAUAAUAAUAAUGAAAUUAAUCAACAUGGAUUAGCUGUGUGCAUUUUAGUAUAUUUUGAUCGAGAGAUAAACACUAUCUUAACUGACAGAGGAAUGACAAAUUAUUCACGUGAAAAGAGGCCAAGCUUGGGAAAGGUAGGGUGAUGUCAUCCAUGUAUUGUUAGUGCAUAAUCACUGUGGCUAGGGAAGUACUGCUGAAGAUAUAUUUGAAGGGUUGAUCUUUUAUUACUUUCUUUUUCACUUGAAAAGCCAACUAGUUUCAGAGCCUGAAAUUAUAAGAAUUAAUCCUUAAAUAUUCUCUGAUGUGAACGCUCAACUCAACUCUCUGCUGAUAUAGAUGCAUACAUUUUUAUGCACAAAAUCUAAAACUCAGACUUGAUGCAAAUUAAGAGCAAUUUCGUGGUGCAACACUGCAUCCUAGGUAUUAAGAAUAUUAGACCUUCAAAGUCAACGGCUUACAACCUGAAAGAUUUUUAUUUGUUGUCUUAUUUUUUGUCAACUCUUUAUUCUUCUAGCAAUUUUUUGAUAAAACUACCUUGCUUUUGAUUUGGAGUUCAAGUGAACUAAUUUUCUUUUUUGUUGCUUACAUUACUGAUGUAUUUUGGAUCGAAUGAUGAUCAUGACACACUCAUAGUCAUAUCAGUUUUAUGUUUUCUAUUACAACUACAGGAUGACAGUGGUGCCACAUCAAGAGUUUAUGAAUCCUUUUUAUCAGAGUAUCCUUUGUGUUAUGGUUAUUGGGAGAAGUACGCAAACCAUAAGGCACGUUUGUGUUCUGUUGACCAAGCGGUUGAAGUUUAUGAAGAAGCUGUGAAAGUAGCUACGUAUUCUGUUAAUCUAUGGGCCAAUUAUUGCAGCUUCGGUAUGCAAUUUUAUGAAGAUCUUGACGAUGUUCGAAGGUAUUAUAUAUCUUAGUAAUCAUGGUUAUGUUUUGAGAAACAUUAAUUGUGAUGCUUAUUUAUUCAAUUGAUGAUGUGAAAACAGAACCUUUCAGUGACAAAUGUUGAAGCAUAUGGAAUAUUGGUGAUAGAAGUCAUCCCAUUAGUGAGUUUAAUAAUUAAGGUGUAUAAGUACGGUUGCUAGUGAAUUGACAAGCACAUGAUGAGCAGUAUCUUUUUUGGAAUACUGUAAUUUCUUUGUUUAUUCUGAUGGUUACAAAAUCACAGUUUAUGCCUACUGGAUUGAGAUCUUGACAGUCGAUUUGCACUUUUCAACACAUUGAAUUAAAAUAGAGAGGAUGAUGCUCCGAGUUGGCAUAGGUGUUUAAAAUACCUAUUAUUCUCAGAAAUAAAAGAACUGUUGAUAACAUAUCUACUGGUCUCAACAAAUCUCAUUAAGAAUUAAAAUCAUAAUACAUAGAAGUAGGAAUUAAUCUAGGUACAAUGAUAAAGUUGGUCAAUGAAUGUGUUGUAAUAUUGACAGUUUACAAGAAAAGAAUUAGGACUGUAGACUUAAAAAUUAAGUUAUUCAGGGCUUAGUAUCGAAUGAACUGGUCAGUAAUCUUCUUGAAGAGUUUUGUGGAAAGGAAAUCUUAACGACAUUAAAAAUGCAGCUAAGAUGGUUGUGCCAUUUAUGCAUCUCUCCAUCCUGAAGUACUGUCAUACCUUGUAAAAGACAAGAAAACGAAAAUUUCAUACGGUUAUAGAUGACAGAGGCCUCUUACUUGAUGUCUAUUUUCAGUUGUUUCAUCGCCAAAUGUCAAAAAUACACUAAUUAUGUAGGAAAAGGGUAGGAUGAUAUAAAAUUUUAAUAACUUAUGAUUGAAAGAGGGUCAGCAAUGUGAGAGGAAAUGAAGAACACUGGACGAUGAUGGGUGAUCAAAAUUUAAAUCACGAAAAAGAUGUGUAAUAAUACCGAGGGUGAGAUUCUUCGUACCUAUUUCAGGUGAAGGUGUUUGGACGGUCCCACCUAAAUUGUGAAAGAAUCUUCUUGAAGGCGGGAAUAUUAGCUGAUGUUGUGCUAUUACGAUGAGAUUGAGAAGUAGCUGCUACUAGUUUGAUUUGGUGAUUCUCCUUGCCACAGUAAAUGAGUACUCUGAAGAGAUACCAUGCUGAAAUACUCUUCUUCGAAGGGGCUCUAUUGACAAACGUAUUCUGUAAUUAAAGAUCAAAUAAAACUAACAAGUAACAUCAUCUUAGCAAAUUCCUUUAAAGAUGUCAUUUAGUUUUCUGAACAGGUCUUUACAUCUGUAUGAAUGCUGUUGUUGAGUUUUUUUUCUACCGUGGCUUAAUUUUCAUGUUUCUUUUGCCAAAUUACCUUUAUGAAUGGAUUCUUUUUCAAGCUGUUGUCCGGAUGUGUCUAGUACCCAUCACGUGUCUUCCUUUAUCACUACAUGUGUGUGUGUCUAGAACCUUCUGAGGGGGCUGAUAUAAAUACCAGACCCCCCUCUCUCUUGUAUGAUUGAUUUUGUUUGAAUAACAGAUGAAAUUUUCCUUUCUUUUUCUGUGCGUGAGUUACCAUACAGCGCACAGAACUUGAUUCAAGAUUCUACAAAAACGAAUAUGUUUAUUGACUAGCCUGUUUAUAUUUUUUCAAGUACUUUUUAUUUUGUCUUUUUUGGUCUAACAGCCAUUUCAGAUCAGUAUAUUCAGCCAAUCAUUAAAUGCGGUUCCCACUGAUCUUGUUAACAUGCAUUUGGUAAAUGAAUGUGAAUCUAUUUAAUUUUUUUCAUGAGAAAAGAGUCAAGGUGGUAAGGUCAUUGUUGGCUAUAUAUAGUUAAAAAUAAUUCUUCUUAUAUAUUAUUCCCUUUUUAGCUGUUGCACUUUUUUAUUCAUCGUUGCUAUCAUCAUUAUCCACAAAAUCACUUUGACCGGGGUUGAGCUUAUGAAUCCUGUUGUGCCAACCUACGCUAUCAUUAUCAUUUUCGAAUUCUAUAGGUACAUUUACUUUUUCGGCCCUUUCUGUGAAAUUAUUGUUAAACCAAGAGAAAAAAGUGGAGAUGUCCAUUCCUUUUGUUAAUUUCGUUGUGUGGGCAGGUUGUAUGAAAGAGGUUUGACAUUUGUUGGAAAAGAUUACCUAUGCAACACUUUAUGGGAUCAGUAUCUUGCAUUUGAGCAUUCUCAUAAACAGUGGAAUCGCCUUGUUGGUGUUUACAUUAAAAGUUUGAGAUUUCCAACUAAAAAAUUGCAUAGUUAUUACCAGAGGUAUGAUUCCUAUGUUUUGACAAUUAUUUCUAGUUUUAAUAAUUAUAUCUUAUAUUUUGAGAAAUGUUUACUAUCUGAUCCGUCAGCUUCAAGAAGCUUGUUACCAGCCUGGAAGAAGAAAUUAAAUAUCAAAAUAUUUGGAUGGAUUUAACAGAAGGUUCAGUAGCCAAUGAGCUGGGAGACUUGAAUACUGUUAAUGAUUCAAGAAUCAGAAGUAUUAUCAGUUUUCUUCUUGAUCAGCCAGCUGCCCUCUAUAGAGGUCAAACGCUUAAGACAAUUUUGACAAUUGGGGAAUAUUUCUAUCGGAGAUCAUCUGACAUUGAUGAAAAGAUUAGUUGCUUCGAAUCUGGGAUUCGAAGGCCUUAUUUUCAUGUAAAGCCCCUUGAUAGCAGUCAGCUGCAGACCUGGCAUCGCUAUCUUGACUUUGUUGAGACACAAGAGGAUUUUGAUUGGGUAUAAUUUCCCUAUUUUUCAUCACUGUUUUAGUUAUUGUUCCCUUUCGGAUGGACAUCGACAAUGUCUAUUUGCUUUUAUUUACAGACUGUGAAACUGUACGAGAGAUGUUUAAUUCCUUGUGCUAAUUACCCUGAGUUCUGGGUUCGCUACAUUGAACUUAUGGAAGCAAGUGGAGCUAGGGAGAUAGCAACUCACGCAAUCGAACGGGCAGUCACAUCUUCUCUCAAGGUAAAAAGUUUAAAAGGACCUAAUGACCCUAUUUCGUUCCCAAUAUAAGUUCACACAUUUUUAUAUAUUUCGUCAAGUUAUGUUCAACCAUUUCUAGUGCGAUGGUUGUGUCCUAAUCCUCAUGAUUUAUUUGUUGAUGGUGAAUUUGUGCUAGGUUACAUAUAACUGAGGAGAUAUAUCAACCAUGAUACUUGACAACACAGUACUUAGAGAUAGAGUGAAAGUAGGUGUAGAAAACAAGUCUUUUUUGAGCAUUACUCUUUGGUUUGGAUACACCUGAAUCUUAAUUUUUUAGUUAUGCAGUGUGUGGGUGCUGUCUUAUGUCAAGGUCUGGAUAGUUGGGAAUUUGUUUCUGAACUUCUGGGUCCUAAUCCUAUCCAAGGUUGGAAUGGAGUGGCCUAUCUGCUGUCUAAGGAAUCAUAAAAGUUUUAAAAAUUCAGAAAAUAUGAAAAUCAUGAGAUUAUUCAAUGUGAUUUUAAAUUACUUCCACUUUAUAUCUAAAAUGAAUAAGUAUACUAUGAAUUAAAAGGAUCAAAUUAGAUGAUAGUAGAUGAGCAAUGUGGUACAGAAAUUAAAUGGUAGAUGUACUAUGUUAGAGCAUGAGUAUAGGUAGAAAUUGUUGGAGAUUGUGAUGCUGGUCCUAUUUGGUUAAACAUUUUGAUCACUAUGAUGCAAGCCAUCAUUUCUUGAUACCUUUCAGAUAUGUUCUGAAAUGUGAUUGAUUUUACCUUGCUUUCCAUAUUUGUUGGUCUUCCUUUUAAUCACUGUAUCCAUACUUGCUAUUGGACUAUGAAUGUGUAGUUCUAGACUUUGAGGUAAUUAAAUGAUCCUCUUUGUCGUUCAAAUGCACAUAGUUUUGUUUUCUUGCUUUAUUUGUUCUUAGCUCACUGUGCUUUCUUGCUUAUUGUAUAUGUGAUCCCACUUGCUUAUGGUGUAGCAUGUACUAAAUCAUCCUUCUUUCGCUAAUAUCACUUUUUUACUAUUACCUAAUAAGGUUCUUUUCUUUUUUUUUUCUGUUUGUCUUCAAGGACAGUAGAGCCACAUGUUUAUUUUUUCUUUAUCAUAAUUGACCCUUCGUGUCAAGCUAAACUCAAGCACAAAUACUGAUAUUGAUCAUUGAGAUUGAUGUACUGAUUGUUUGCUAGUCAGGAGAAACUCAAUUUUCAGGUCUUUCCAUAAGUUUUUUGAAAUAAAAAUUGAAGGUAAGAAAUGUAGGCUAUUGCAGAGCUCCUUACCUAUGUGACCACUGCUAGUCGAUUGUUGUGUUAAUAUAUCAGUCCAUUUAUCAUCUAGUUCGUGUAUGGAUAUCAUUUGAAUGCACUGCCAUGUGAAUGUCGUUUAAUAUCAUCUAUAAAAAAUAUGUUGUAGCAAAGGUCCUUUUUCCGUUCACUAGAUACAAGCGAAGUUGAUCACUUCUCAUAACCUUUAUGAUAUCGAAUUUCACCGAUUUUCUCAAGCAAGGCAUAUCAUAUAUUAAUCUGAACAACUGGUUGGAUAGAGCCCUAAAUGACCUUUCUAUCCUGGAUUCAGCUUACAUCUACAUCAGGAUCAAGUACCUGCACAAAUAGGAGGGAUGGUGUAAAGGUUCAAAAUUUUCCAGUUCACUGAACCGAAGAAUACUCAGGUUAAAUACUUCGAUUCCAUGUGAAAUAUCAAUCUUUGUAAAAAAAUUUGAGAUAUUCUUUGCCAACGAAAUCAGUGAGGACGUCACUAUGAGUCCCUGGAUGCGUCAGAGCUGCUUUUGGGAUCUUCUUCUUAAGCCUGGUUUUUGUACAAUGAACCUCAGAGAUGCAGGGUAUGCCACAGGGUAGAGUGGUUGUGCCUAGUGAAGCAGUUGUGCUGCUUCUGAGCUGUGGAAAUGGAUGGCAUUGUGAUGCAGGGAUGGAAGACAGAAGAGAAGACUCUAUCACUGUAAAUCUAGAUUGAGUUGGUCAGGUUUCUAAUACUCGGAUUAUCUAAACCUUCACCGCCAUGAAGUCUGCUUGCUGUAAAUCUCUUUCUUUAAUCCUAGUUGCCUUGAAUUAGUAGUCUGCUACAUGGUGUAUUAAGGUGGCAGCUGUUAGAAGAAAUAUUGUCGACAGAUGUUGGAAUUGGAAGACAGAAGAGAAGACUAAGUCCCUAUGUAUAAGACACUAAAACAAUGGAGGAGAAACUGAGGUUAUUCACUCAGGGGAAGGAGCUCAUCCAGGAUGGAGUCAUUUACUCAAAUUUUAUGGGUUGAUGAUAAAAUGAGGUUAACCGAUAAAUGUACAUGCUUGCCUGUAGUAUGUAAGGAUGGGUGAAAAUAGUUUUCCAUUUCAAUCAUGCUGCUCACUCUUCUUUCUUUUCAUUAAGGGUAUUGACAAUCUUAAAAUUAGUAUAUCUACUAGAUAGAUUUUAUGAAAUGGCAAUCACAAUGGAUCAACCUCUCAUUUGACUCACUUGCCAUUUUGGUUAUAUAUGCUUCUUCAUGGAAAGCAGAGAGUUCCACAGUUUCGUGAAUAUUGUGCAAAGGUCAAAGAGCGCAUAGGGGAUGCAUCCGGUGCACGUAGUUCUUUGCAGUACAGCGAUACAGAGUUACUGUCCAAUUUUGUUGACAACAUCAAUCAACAAGCAAACAUGGAAAAGCGUCUUGUAAGAAAAUUUCUUGUAUUUAGUUGAAACAUCAUCCAGGUAAAAUUGAGAUGAUCAUUGAUAAGUUCGUUUUUCAGGGAAAUAUUGGAGCAGCUUAUUCAAUCUACGAUAAUGCAAUUCAAAUGCUUAAAGAUAAGGAGGAUCUGCACGUUUUUUGUCUUCUCCAUCUGCACUUUGCCAGAUUUGCUUACUUGGUGGGGACUUUAGUACAGUUUGAGAGAAAUUAUCUUCUCACGUUAUAUACUUGCACACUACUAAAAUGCCUGUGACAUAACCACGUUACAAGACUGAAGAAUGGACUUUAUUCUUGACAUGGAUAGUUAUUUUAUACUGGGGCUCAUAAAACGCCGUAGUACAUUUUUCAUUUUCUUUCUUGAAUAAUUAAAACUGAUUUCUAAGUAUAUUGGUUGUUUCUGUUUACUUUCUACGUGAACAUCAAGCUCGCGUUAAAAUGAGUGCAACUGAACCUAAUGUCUUGAUAAUCUAAAUUUAAUAAUGAUUUCAUUGGACAGCUCAGAAUGUGCCGACUUGCAAUAGGUUUAGGUGUUAAACAACAUCUGUUGUUUAUAUAUAUCAUGUCUAUGGUAUGAUUCGUUUGUGUCGAACAUUGUCUCAAAGGAUUUCGCUGUAUUUCCUCGGUUUGAAGAUGAAUCAAAAGGUGGAAUCAGAUUGCGACUUUGAUAUUCGUUCUUUGGAUGAGGACUUUGGAUGAAUUUUAUGGUAUUUUACUCAAUUCAAGGAGAUUUCUUCUCCAGGUGCAUUGUAUCGUUUGUUCAGGCUUGCCAUACUGAAAAUAAUAAGCAUAUGUUCUCUCCACCUUAUUUACAUUUCGUUGGUAUUUCUGUAGUCUCCUUUUGGCAUGGUCUUUUGAUGGCUUAUUCUUUCAUAAUAAAGUGAAUUUUCCCUGCCUUAAUAGCCUAGGGCCACUCUUGAAUUUUUCUAAGUCCUUCGUGAAAGGGAAACUUUCUAUUUUUUUUGGCGUUUUCCUUAGGGAAACUGUCUGUUUAUUUGAGUCUGUCAGUCAGGUCUCCAAUAACAAAAAGGGAGUCUCGUCUUCAUUGUAAACACUUUUGAAUGAAUGUGGCUUAUGGGCCUAUAUCCUGAAUGAUUAACUGGGAUACUUAUCGGAGACAGUGUGAGGUUAUGCUCUAGUUGAUUCAGUAAUAACAAUUCUACAAUGAAGGAUACUCUUAUUAAGAAUUUUCUUGAGAGAGAACGGUAUUCCAUUUCAUUAGGAUUAUCCGUCAGCUUAAAAAUAUAUUUUCAUUUUACCUUUAGUUCAUGAACGUGUCUGGAAUUGUUCCCAGCUUACUUUAGCACCGCUGAAUAUUUAUAAUAAAAUGAAUUUAAUUGUGUAAACGUUCAGGGAAUGUAAAUACUUUGAAAGAUGAUUCAAUUAAGAGAAAUAAAGAUCCAUUGUCAACAUGGUAUCAGAGAAAUCUGUUGUCAGCAUUGUCAGCAUUGUCAGCAUGGUAUCAAUUCUCUGUGAAUAAGCGUGAUCCCAAUUAAUCGAAAAGAAUGCUUUCAAUAAGAGUAAUCUGUUGUAUUUGGUGCACAAAAUUUAGUUCGAGUUCUCAAUAGGUUUGGAUCAUUAAUUGCUUUGUUCCUGCUUCGGAAUUUCAUGACAAUAAUGUACAAGGAGACAGUUGGCAAUUGGGAAAUAGUUGUCAUACUCAUUAUCCUGAUCAUCUUUGGACUGAAUUCUACUUAUAUGUCUAUUGCUUUUCUGACCUAGAGUUCCACAUAAUUAUUCUGCUUGAUUUGUCCUGGCUAAAAAUAAAACUUAAUAAAAACAGAAAUCAGUUCAAAAUAUUUAUGUUAUCUGAAGUCCAUUCACGUCGUCAAUUACCGUGUACAUUCACGUUGACCAAUUGAAAGUGAUCAAUCUCAAAGCUUCCUGAGGAAAAAAUAUGAUAGUAAAAUUAUAUAUCCACGGAUGAUUCAUUUUUUUGUUACUACCGGUAUGUUCAAUAGAAUUAAUUUUCGAUUUUUCUCAUGCCUAUUAUCUUUCAGGUAACUGGUGAAUUAGGUGCUGCCAGAGAGGUUUUUAUCAAAGGGAUAUCAAGGGCACCUCACUGCAAAUCACUUUUUGAGGUUAUAUCAUUGAUCUCUUUUUGUGUCAAUUAAAUUCGAUUCCUGGCCCCCGUUUCUCUCGUCAACAAACGUUUUUCUCCAAAGGAUUUAACAGUCUGGUAUCAAAAGCAGGGGUGUUAUGAAAUGCAUGCUGUUCAAUAGAAGGCUACUUUAAAGUAUUUUGAAGUGUAUAUAUUUAAUUAAAAAAUUGUAUGUAAAAUCUGCAUUUCGAAUUUUUUUAAUGGUUAUAUUUUUUCAAAAAUCAUAUAUUAAAUUACCGCAGUUAUGCUUUUAAACUUUUAGUUUGAAUUUUCCUUGUUCUCAAAAUAUUAAGUCCCUAAGAAAUUACAUGUGUGUGCUUGUUAAAGAAGGAAUAGCCAUGCUAAUUGCAAGAGGGGCAAGGACGAAGAAGAGGAAGGAAAGGAAGUUAAACGAAAAACGAUCAAAACAUGACAAAACAGCAAAAGGGCACCUUUACGAAUCAUAUUUUUUGCCCUUUUAAGGGCAGUCAGUUCCUAUGUUUCUGUUCUUAUUAUAUGAUUGAUUAUUCUGUUAUGAUCUUUCUCCAGCAUUUAAUUUUUCUCCGAAGUACUUUGACUGGCAACUAGAUUAGGAAAUCUACAGCUUUACGGUUCUUAAAGUCAUAGUUACAUGAAUUUUUGGUGCUCUCUGCUCGUAAUCGGGCCAUCAAGUUCUUUACUAUUUUUUUACUUGUACAGGGAUUAAUUACAUUUAUGUCUAUCCAUGGGGGGACAGGAGAAAUUGGUUAUGUAGAUUCUAUUGUGGAACGUGCCAUAGUUCCAGAAUCAGGUGUGUCACUUGCAUUAAGCCUUACCGACAGAAGGGACGUGUCUAAUUUGUUUUUGCAGGUAUGCCAUCCUAUGCCAUUUGUAUUAUUCUGCCCUUUCUGUUUCAAGGAAAAUAGCCACUUCCCAUAAUACCUCACUAAAAAUGAAUCGUUUGCUGGGGUGGGGCCAUAUAAAGUAAGCAAAGCAGAGCUUUCUUCUUCCAGUUUCCAACGCACCAUGUGACGCUAGGGGUACUUAUAAUGCCAGAUAUCUCUGCAAUAUUUUUCAGUCGAUUUUGGAUUACCUAGUGAAGGUUUGAUUAAAAUCUUUGCGCCGCAGUGUCACUAAACAUGAAUUCUCAGAGGAUGCAGCAGCCAUUAAGACUUUCGUUUAAGAAUUUAGGGUUUUGUGAUUAAGAUUUGGGCUUUUCAAAGUUGAUGCUGGAUUUGCCGUGGAUCUGUCCUAUGAAGUUAAUGAUCCACUGUUAGACAGUUUCUACAGAAUUCAUCUCAAUUGAUAAAGCUGUGCUAGUUGGGCUAGUGAUUCUAUUUCUGUGCAUCUUGGAAUCAUUUUACUUUUUAUGAGGGCGUCAUCUUCUCCAGUACAGAAACUAUAGUGUGAUUUGUGGGUCAGCAAAAUAUUGCACAGCGAAUAACGUUGCACAGUGACCAACCUUAGGCCGGUAUGGGCACGCAGAAAUGGAGGGGCUGUUGAUCUGAUGGCAUGAUAUUAUAGUUACCCGCCUCGGCCUUAAGCUUCAUAAUUGAUGUUGAUGUGUGCCAUAUAUACAUGGGUUUAUUAUUAUUAUUAUUAUUAUUAGUUCACCCUUUAUCACAGGAUCUGAUUCACUGACAUUCAGCCUUGUGGGUAGCGAAUCGCCGUCAUUGUCCAGGUGACUAUGUGUAGAUAUUUUAGUGUAAUUUUCUCAUAGAGAGUUAUUUUCCAAACAGUUUGUGGACCUUUGUGGGACGAUCCACGAGAUCAGAAGGGCCUGGGCUCGACACCUGAAGCUGUUUCCACCUGCACAAGAAGCUGCUCCACUCGGUCGCCGUGCCGACGGUCCUGAGCUUUUGGAGAAGACCAAGGAGCUGACUGGUGCAGGAGACCCCGAUCUUAAGCCUGGGACAGGUCAUGCAGAUAGAGAGGCAUCAACUGAAGAAGAUGAUGCCCGCUCUUCAAAGAGAAAUCUUCUCCUCCUGCAGGAGGGGCCCGCUGCACCGGCCACCAAGUCUCAUCCAGCCGUCGCUGGUGACAGUACAGAGGGGAGCCCAGACCGUUCGCGGCUCCCCAGUGAAGAAGAGGAGCAGGCUAAUCGUUUUCAGGCUAUUCGGCUGCCUGCAGGCGCCGCUGUGCUGCAACAGGAAGCUCAUUCCUUCUCUUCUCUUGGUCCUGCUGCUUGCUCCGUACGCGGCGGAGGGGAGCGAACCCCACCGCUGCCGGGCUGCAAGACUCAGGACGAUCUAAGACCAUCUCUGGAGAGCCUUUCCAUAUGUCUUCCUGAUGAAGGUCAGGAAUCCAGCCCGAGCUCUCCUCGCAGAGGCCAUGGAGCUCCUCAGCCCCCCUGUGGGGAGAGCGGGCGCGAUGUUUGCAGUGACAGUGAGGCUAAAACAGCCCAACACAGGGCAUCUACAAUGCCAGCUACACCGAACAGUCGCACGCCGGAGCAAAAUCUUCGCCAAGAAAAAGUAAACGCCUUUGACAUAAGCCAACUGCCUGCAGAAGAGGCCGCUGAUCCCAAAUAUCCUCGGACCUCUGAAUGGCACUAUGGCGGGCAGCCCUCUGAGCUUCAACCCAGCUUAUCUGGAUAUGCCCAAACUCCACAGCAUCAGCAAUGGCAGGUUCCUAUGCAAUUUCAGUAUCUUCCGUACUCUGGAUUUAAUCCACAAGCUCCCCCACCUCAGGCAUACGCGUAUCAGCCACAGUUUUGGCAGCCAAAUAUCCAAAUGCCCGGCCAGAUUCAGGGCCAGUAUCAGAUGACUGCGGGCCAGGGAUUACCUCCCUGGCCCAUGUUCUGGCAAGCACAGAGUCUACCACAGAGCGGUGGAGAUGGAAGUCAGCAUCAAAUAUAUCAAUAUCAUUUGCAGGAUGGCCACGCUAUCUCCCCUGAGUUCUGGCAUUACUACCAGCAGCAGCUGUAUUAUAUGCAGCAUCUGCAGCAAGGUAGCAUCCAGGUGCAGCAGAAGCAGGAGCCUGGCCCGCAGCAGAAAAACGCUCCGUUGCAGCAUGAUCCUCUGCGACAGCAACAACAAGAGGAGCAACAUCAAGAGCAGCAUCUUCAGCUGAACAUCCUUCAGCUGCGGCAUCUACAAAAAAAAAUGGAAAUGGAUCAUUUGCAGUGGCAGGGCCAGCAACAGGAGCUUCGCCAAGCCCAGGAUUCGCAUUUGCAGCAUCAUUCACAGCCACGAUGCCAACCAGACGACUCACCUGAGUCUUCACCCACGCAGGAUCCUCCAAAAACACGACAAGACCAGCUAGAGCAGUAUGUGCAGCACCAAUCCAUUCAGCAGAAGGAUCGGAUGAUCCUGAGCCGCCAGGAACAUCAACAGCAGAUGUACUUGCCACAGCUGCAACAACAACUGCAGAAGCAGGAGAUCGGGACCUUGCGGGAUGCUAAGACCUCGAGAGAGAGUUACAAUUUAGAGGUAUCUAUCACCUGUCUUGUCUUCGUGCUAUAUUGCAGCCGAGUCUUGGAAUCAGUUUCGAAAAUUUUGACCUAAUUCCCGACGUAAAAAUCUUCUUAGGAUAUUGAAUGCUCUCUUCUCCUGAUAUAAUGUCCUAGCUUCUUCGAUUGAGUAUCAGCUGUAUGCUUCUGUGAAUUCAAAAAAGAUUACAUCACCGGCGCAUGAAUAGAAACUAAUUGGGCCAUGUUGCUCUUCAGAUUCAAGCACCCACUCGAGUUGCCGAAGAAGACGGCGCUGUUCAUCCAAUACCUGAGCCGCCGAAUGCCCCGAUCCAAUGACCCGCAGGUGGGAGAGCAGCUUUGCAUUGGCUUCAUUUGUUACAGUGAGGUCCGCAUCCGGCCUUCGUUGCCCAAGUUCAGACCUCUGGUCCGCGGAUCGUCCGUCAUCCAGCAGAUAACUCGCGAUUUGAAGGCCAUUCUGAAUCUGGCAGAAGCAGCGUCGCCGUUCGAAGCCGCUGAAGCAAUCUCCAAGCCCGCGCCGAGGAAGAGCAGCCGAGCUUCUCCGAGAAAGGGGGCUCAUCGGGCUUCGUCUUCUGGCAGAGCUCCUCCCGAGUUCCCUCUUUCUUUUACUCGGACGACUGAACUGGACCCCGCGGCCCUCAAAUCCCCUAUAAUUGUUGGAUCGACCCCCCUCGCGGGGAUGGAAACGCAAUGAUCUUCGAUGCGAGGGGCUUUCCUGCAAGGAAGACCCGAAGAGCGACCCGGAUGGGAAUAGUCAACGCUCGCAGGGCCCCCGAUUAUCUCUCUCCGCGCCCCCCCCUUUGACUAUCUCCACACACUCCGAGGAACGGCGCCUCCCGGCGGAAUCCUGCGGCAGAUUCUCUCCCUCCCUACUCCGGUCCGGCCCGUUGAAGAAGAGGAAGGGUCGUCCCCAUCGAUCCCCACUCAGCAGAUCCGAAUAUGCCGAGGAAUGCUCUCUCUCUCUCUCUCUCGCGCGCGCGCGCGCGCGCUCGCUCGCUCGCUAGCACUGCGUCGGCGAGUCGACCCCGUCCUCCGGCCGGCUGCACAUUGAACACCCGCGGCAUAUCCCCGGGCAUAUUCCCGGGGGAGCCCCAGCCGGUCCUGCUGCUGCUCCUCCCCCCAACUUGCUCUUUGAAGACGACGCCGUGCCGUACUGUGCCGUGGGAGCAGCCAAUGCGGGGGGGGGGGAGGGCCAUUUAGGAUCGAUCCCCUCCUCUCUGACGACGGCGGCGCCCUCGUCCGAGCUCGCCUAGGGCGCGGGGUUCUUCCGGCUGGCUGGUCGAGGCGGCGGAGGAUGAAGUUCGGGAAGCGGCUAAAGCGGCAGAUCGAGGAGACGCUGCCGGGGUGGCGGGACAUGUUCCUCUCGUACAAGGAUCUGAAGAGGCAGGUCCGCCUCAUCUCCUCCGACGCGCCGGGGAGGGCGUUUUCAUCGCCGCCGGGGAGGGCGGCGGUGUUGGAGUUCGUCCGCAUGCUGAAUGCCGAGGUGCACAAGCUCAACGUCUUCUUCAUCGAGCAGGAGGAGGACUUCGUCAUCCGCCACAAGGUAGGGGAGGAGAAGAGAUUGCUGGACGGCGGCCGCGGUGCUUCCUUCUCCUGAUCCGGAUCGGUGGUCUCUCCGCGCAGGAGCUGAGAGACAGGAUACGCGCCGCGGAGGAGACGGUGGGGCCUGGGAGCGCACGGCCGUCGGCGGCGGAGUACGCGGCGGAGAUGGGGAGGAUCAGGAGGGGCCUCGUCGACCUCCACGGGGAGAUGGUUCUGCUCGUGAACUACAGCAACGUCAACUACACGGGUCCUCUUCCUCUCUGAUCCUCGUCAACAUAUCUCAGAUCCUUUAGAUUCUUUCCUCGCUCGUUCUCCAAGUUUUUCUAGCAGAAUUGGCAAUUAUCGUCGGCGAUGAUGAGGAAUCAAUCGAAUCUACCCUGGCCGCGACAGGGCUGGCGAAGAUCCUGAAGAAGUACGACAAGCGGACCGGGGAUCUGCUGAGGCUCCCGUUCAUCGAGAAGGUGCUGACGCAGCCCUUCUUCACCACGGACCUCAUUUCGAAGCUGGUGAAGGACUGCGAGAGCACCAUGGACUCGGUGCUCCCUUCCCCGCCGCAGAAGAACCUGGAGGGGAGGGAGCGCAGAGCCAGAGCAGUGGCCCUCCCGCAUCGGCGGCCCGCCGGAGUAUCGUCAGGAACACGGUCGCCGCCCUCGUGACGAUGCAGGAGCUGCGGCGAGGGAGCUCCACUUACGGGCACUUCUCCCUCCCCCCGCUGAGCUUCCCCGAGACAGAUCUGCUGCAGGCCCUUCAGCUCCCAUCGCUCAUCUCCAUUCAGUGAGUGAGAUCCAUGAAGAAGCGACCCAUUUUAGCAGACACCCCCCCCCCCCUUCUGGUUCCAGACGACGGGGCGUGACGGAGGAAAAUCAGGGUCGCCCGGAGAAAGGAGAGGCCUUGUUAUCGACAGUCAGUAGUUCUUCUUUCGACGUGCUCGUCGCGGGAUGGGGGCUCUGAAUCGCCUCCCCCUUUGCUCCCCAUUAACGCGCUGGUUACUGGAAGAAGAAGACCUCCCUCGGUUGCUGGUAGCCGUGUUGCAACUAAUUAAAUGAAUAUUAUUUUUAUUCCGAUAUCUUUCAAAUCUAGAUAUUUUCCGAAUAUUUUCAAAUCUAGAUAUCUUUCCUCCAUUUUAUUAAAACUUGUUUAUUUUUUAACUGGAAGAUGGGUUUUUUUUAUUCUGCGAGAUAAGCGCCCACUUUUUAUACUUUCUUUGAUUGUGAGCCUUCACGAGUACUGGUGGCUGGCGCUUGAGAACCUCCAACUUGACAUGGUCAACAGUCAAGGUUAGGCGCGUGCAUGGAUGAAACCACAAAAACGGGUCCAAACUAGAUGACGUUCGUCCACCUGUCGCUUCCACAUACGCGUAUGGGUAAGUUGACCCAAGAGAGAGAGAGAUGGUGACGUCACUUCGAAGUUGAGUAGGCUGCAAGUCAUAGCAUCCACAAAAGGUAGCUACUCAAUAAAGGUCGGAAUCGUCAAAGUGGUGCAAGCAUGUUGUGGGUUUUGCUUCUAUCAGAAUUCAUGUAUCUUUUUUGUAGUUUCAAGAAGAAGGAAAAAAGUUGCAUCUUUUGCAGCCUAAAGGGUAGAACAAGCCCAACCCAUGUUGCCAAUUUUCGUACAAUUGAUAUUUUCAAUAUAUUUUUUUAUUGAAUUUUAGGUCGUCUAACUACAUAGUGGUUUCCCAUCCCAUGUUGAAGAUUAAUCUUUUGUUAAAAAAUAAAAUGGCUAGCAAAAUAUUUUGCAUUAAUCAUAGGAAACCAAGAAGUCAACUAAAUUAGUUUCAUUAACUUUUUCAUUGAAUGCAUGUUGGGCUUAUUGAGGCCAAAAAGAAAGAGGGUAGGGCUAUUUAAUAUUCGGCUUUCAGAUGGGUAAAGUUGGAAAUAAAUUAGAUGUAACAAAUAAGGAACAUUAUAAUUUAGGUAAAGUGGGCUCCCUAUCGACAAUCAAGGUGAUAACACAAGUGUUGCUCAUAAUCUAUAUUGGUUCCUGUUUUAUUUCCCCACUCAACUCUUUACAAAUGUUUUGUCCUAGCUCAACAUUGUUAGGAACUCUUUACUUAAAGCCGCUGGUUGCCACUAAGAGAUUUUUACCUCUGUAGAGAAGAUAGUCUAUGAAAAAAAGCUAAGUUGAACCCUCAAGCAUUAGUUCCAAACCUUCAUUUUAGUUUGACGUAUUAACAUAGAAUAUAAGUUGUUGUGUUAGCUUCAGCACCCAAAAGCAUUAUUCAAUGAGAACUGAUUUGGAGAACCAUUUACUUGUCAUUGUUAAGGUUCAUAAUUCUCCUCAAAGCAUUAUACAACCUAGAUUGAGCUUUACAUAAUUACCUAUUGACUGUUUCUUCUCUCAUAUAUUCUGAAUUUUAAAGUUCCUCCUAUGAAAACCUCACUAUAUUUCAUUAACAACUUUCUGUUGUACAACCAUUCUAUUGAUAUCUUCUAAUCUUGGUCAUUGUCUAUUCAUGAUGUCAAAGCAUAGACAUACUUAUACUAUCAUCAAAAGUGUGGCUUAGUAUACUCCCAUAUUGUAUAAUGCCAUCUUACACUCUAUAAUGCCAUCUUAAAAAAUAUGGAAUCAAAGGUGUGGCUUAGUAUACUCCCAUAUUGGUGGAGGAUCUUUUUAUAAUUCUCAUAUGUUAAAAUUUAGAAUAAACUUCUCAUAAGUUAAAGCAAUGACAUUAAUACACUCUUUCAACUAUAAAAGCACAAAAAAACAUUUUUCUAUCACUCUUUUUUCAUCAACAAAAUUUAUUUGGGUCUCAAAACCUCAAUAAUAUAGUGUCAUAUUUGAAGUCAAUAUCUAUUACACAAUCUUAUAGGGUUAAGAUUUUUAAAAUAAUUGCAAUAUCAAUUCCAUAUUUUUUUAUAGAAAUUAAGGAAUAAUGAUUUUAUAGAAGGAACAGUCUAUUAGAAAUCUUUAAAACUCACAUAAUAAUGGUACUCAGUUUUAAAGUUAACUUAAUUAUACAACAUUGGAAUUGCAAGGAGAUGAAAAAUUAGCAACUAGAAAUCUCAAAAUUUCUAGGUAAAGGAAGAACCAUCAAACAAUAUUAUUGCUUAAUACUAUACCAUUAUCUCAUACAUCAAUAAAACUUUUUCAAAGAAAAUUGAAGCCUUAUCAGUUAUUUCUUAUCAAUUUAUUUUUUAAUAAAAAUAUUUAUUAUUUAAUGUAAGUUAAAAUUUUAUUUUUUAAAUUAUUUGUGUUUGUUCUACUCAUUUUGAAUGAAAUUAAAAUUCACUUUUUCUUGGUUGUAUAAAUAAUAAGAAGUAAAGCCUCUAUUGGUUCUUAUGGAGGAUAGGGAGAAUACAAGGAGGUAGGAGUAAAUUAUUUCUUUAAAUUAUUUUCAAAUUUUGGUAUUUAAUUAUUUCUUUUAGUUCUACAUUAGGUGAUUUGGCACAUACUCAAGUUAAGUCAAUGUAGACUAACUUGGAUCGACAUAAUAUUGAGGUAAUUGUUGAGUUAAUGAUUUUGAUGUUCACAACUAAUCAUGAAAAGAAAGAAGAAUUAUUUUACUAUGCUGGUGUAUAGAUCAAGAUCGAAAUCAUUACAUCUAGUCAUUUAUAUUUUUAAAAUAUAAUUUUCUAGAUAUACUAUUACUACAUUAAUGUUGUGGAUCAAGAUCUAAAUCAUUAUAUCUAGUCCUUUAUUAUUGUUAAAAUAUAUCUUAAGAAAAUAGAUAUCAACUACCACAUAACUGAGAAGAAAAAUAAAUCAGAUUACAAAAAAAUUAGAAAGAAAAAGAGGAGAGAAAAAAGUUUCUACUCACAAAUCUGUGUCAGCCAUCAAGAAAUGAAAAAGAAAUAGACACUAGGCUGACUUAGAAAACCUUGUGUCAACUCAAGUAGAAUUGGGAAAGAGAGGUGAUUCUUGAGCCAAAAAUAUUUGUGGACAGAUUCAAAAUUGAGGAAUAAAAUGAAAGUUUUCAGACCUAAAAAAGCCUAUGUUGACUCAUCCAAAAUUGAGGAAGAGAAAUACAGUAUCAAGUCAUAAAUGCAUGUGUCAAUCCAUUAAUAGAUGUCCCAUCCCAUCCAAAACCAAAAAGAGAGGAAGUGUGUAAAACAUGUCCUAAGCAAGAAAAGUUAAGCCAUUCAACCUAAAGGAAAAGAAGAUUUGACUCACAUAAAAUGCAUUUUGACAUAUCAAAAGAUCAAAGAGUUCAAAAAGUUGGUCAGCAAGUUGGACAAACUAACUUUCGUGUAGUCUUACUAGUGGGUCAAUGCAAGUUUUGACCUAGGUAAUUUUUGAUCAAUCAAAUCGUAGAUGUUGGGAUUGUAUAAAUAAACCUUCACAUGAUCUUUCAAACUUAAACUUAACAAUUUCUCAAUUUCACCAUAAAUUCAGAAAUUAUUCUUAAAACUUUUACCAAAAGUGCAUCAUUAUCAAGGUUUUGUCAAGUGUUUAAUCAUUAGCAACAUCAAGUAGGCCCAUUCUCUUAGAAUUUGUAUUGAAAUAUAACUUCUCUAAGCAUAAAUUUAUAUGAGAAGCACUUUUGUCUUUCCAAUGAGAAAAUUCAGAAAUUUGAGUAUUAAUUCAUUCAAAAAUUACGUAAAUUAGAAUUAGGAAAAGGACUGCUCAAUCUAAAACUAGAUGAGGAUUUUCAUUGUGGCAUGUAGUAGACCGAAACACAUUAGGACAAGUUAUUAACCAGAGUAUAUGGUCAAAACUAGGAAACCUUUGGAAUUGUUGUAAAUGGAUUUCUUUAGUCCAACUAAGGCAUAAGUCUUAGUAGAAAAAUAUUUGGGUAUGCAAUCAUUCAUGAUUUUUAUAAAUUUACAAGGGUAAUUUUCUAAAAAGAAGCAUAAUUAACUCAAGGCAUUUAAGAAAUUUAACCAAAAAUAAUAAUAAUGAAAAUAAAUUGAAGAAUAAAAUUAGACAUGAUCAUGAAUGACAAUUUAAAAGUUUAAAUUAUUGGGAAAAAAAUUGGUAAUCAAAGAAAACCCCAUGAAUUUUCUAGUACACCUCAACAAAAUGGUAUUAUGGCUUACCACUAUCCUAAAUAAUUUUCUACUGAGGAGAUAAAUGGUCUAUUAUAUCAUGAAUAGAAUUGUGAUUGAGCCCCUAGUCAAGACAAUUUUUUUGUGAAUUCUAUUAAGGAAAGAAACAAAAUAAUAGUUACUUUUACUUUUUAGAUGCAAAUUCUUUACUUUGAGGACAUAGAAAAUUUUGAUUCUAGAAGUAAUGAAAAAACUAGAGUAUUGUGAAAAUUCACUUUUACAGUUUACAAUAAAUUAUAGGUUAGGAAACAACAAUUAAGAAUUUUAUAAAAGAAAUAGAAAAAAUUUUAGUUCAGGAUGAUGUGGAAUUAUUUGAAACUAAGGUUUAAGAUAUUCAAUUAGUGAUGAUGUGAUGCUCUCCGAACUAUAGGAAAAUAUAGAAAAGGAGAGGUUUUUAAGAGAAGGAAACUAUGUCAAGAUUCAUACAAUUAAUCAAAUUUUAGGGGAUUUUAAGAAAGGACUCUAAACUAGAUCAAGAUUUAAAAUUAAAAUAAUUGUGCAUUGAUUUCUAAAAUUUAGCCAAAAAAUGUUGAGUAAGCUUUAGAGAGUGAGAAUUAGAUUUGAUCACAAAAAAAGAGUUUAAUCAUUUUAGGUUGGUAAUAUUUGAACCUCACUCUCUAGGAUAUUCAAUAUGCUUGUCAUAGGAACAAAUUGGACUGUCAAAGAUACACCAACUUCACAUAAAUCUCGAAUAUGGAAUCUAAAAGCUAAUAUGUGUGUGUUUUACGUGGAUCAAACGAUGGCCCAAGCGUCGUUGGAUUGAUUUGAUGUCAAUAAUAAAGUUGCUUAUCCAUAAGAGAAGAAAAUGCAUUUCAAAUUUCAAAUCAGAUAGACAAAAGAAUGAAAUUUUUUGAAUCAAAAAAUAUAAAAAGUUGUUACCUACAUAUUCUAAAAAAUGGAAAUAUUUAGAAUUAAUUUUUUAAUAUCUAAUGACAGAGUCAAAGAAAGAAACCACUAGAGGAUGACACUUAUAACAAAAAAGAGGGUUUAGAAAAAAAGAACAUAUCUCUACAACAAUUUACAAUGUAUAUCUUUCAAAUUUCAUUCAUUAUGAACUUUAAUGAAGGACAUAAUAUUACACUUGAUCUUCUUAUGAUAUAAUGCUACAUUCAAUCUUCUUAUGACAUCAAUUUUAAAGAUUUAUACUCUCCAUCAGGCCCUAAGGUAAUUAUGUGACAAGGGCAGAGACAUUUAGGCAAAGGCAUAAAAUAUUUGUAGUCAUUUUUUGUCCUAAAAAAUUGUGGUACCUAAAGAGACUGAAUUAAAGUGGUUAAAAGGUUAAGUCCUUAAAUGAUAGUAUAUAUUUCCUAAAUAAAGUAGUGAAAUAUGAUAUAAAGGAUCUUGUGAAAUUGAAAGUAGUUAAGUGAGUAAUGAACUAGUAUAAAAAUUCUGAUUUUAUAAGUGAGAAAGAAGAAUCGUGAGAAUACCACAUAGAGAAAGAGAAAAUAUACAUAGAAGAAAAAAGAGAUGUUAGAGAACCCAUGUCAACAUAUUUAUCAAUAACGAAAAGGCACAAAUCAACAAAAAUCUAUAAACACUCAAUUCAACCCUCUCUUUUUGUAUUUCAUCUAUCAUGUUACUUUUUAUAAAUAAAGGAUCAAUUUAUUAGAAAUUUCAAGUCAUACUUUUCCCCUAAUUACACAUUUGAAUGAUUAAAUAUAAACAUGACAUCUUUUAAGGGCUUAGAUAUCAUUUUUUUUACUCCAAUAAUACAAUAAUUACACUGCUAACAUAUAUUUGAAGGUAUUAGUUUAUGCAUACUUGUAAGAGUCUUCACAUCAGCAUUCAACAUCAAUAAAUUACCAAAUUUUAAUACUUCUAGCGGAAUAGAUUAAUGAUUCAAAUAGUAUUCAAAGUAUCAUUAAUUUAAUUCCAAAGAAAUUGAUCAAAUCAUGAAUGGAAAAUAUUCAAAGUAUUUUUUUAAUUAAUAGACAUCAAGUAUAAUAUUUUAACUUUCAUCUCAAUACGUUACUUCAAUCAUUUGAAAAUUCUUAGAUGACUAGAUUAUGACUUUUUGGUAUCAUUUUAGUAAUUUUCAUCAAGUACAAUGAUGCUAAGGGAAGUAAUGAUUCCUAGUCAAUUUUCAAUCAUUAUAUUGUAUUUCAACUCAUGCAUGUCAAACAUAAUCAUUGAAAUAUCAUCUUAAUACUUAAUACAACUAAAAUCUAUUACAAAUAAUUUUAAAGUCAAUAUCAUUGAAUCAUAUGCCUAGUUCUUGCAGAAAGGAUAUGUUUUAGAAUUAUAAUCACAAUUUCUUUAAUUAUUUUUGUAUGCAUGUUUUUCCUUAUCAAAAAUUUUUUGAGACAAUUAAGACUCCUAAAUUAAAUAGAAUCCAUAAUAAUCAAAAUGGCGUGUUUUUGAGUAGUUGCUUGAACUAAAAAGCAAAGAUAAAUCUUAAAAGAGAAUGAAAAUUGAAUUAUUAUCAUCCUCCUUAAAUGUUAUAACAUAUUGGCCUUUAAAUAGUCUUUUGUCAAUUUUUAUUCUCUUAAAAAAUCUGAUUGAUGAACGAAUUUACAUUAAAUCAAAAUACUAUGAAACAUACUUUCUAAUAAUAUAGAUAUGGCAUUGUAUCCAUGCAGACUUUUAUUGGCUUAUUUUAAUUUGAACUUAAACUCAUUUAAUGACUUUCAACCUAUGCAAUCCAUAUUUUACUAUGGAGUCACAUGUACCACAUUAGAAAGUGCAUUUGAUUGCAUAGUUAACAUCUUUGAUAUGAUGAAUGACAAUUCAGUGCUAAUCAAAAUCAAAAAAUUUACCCAUAUCUACCAACUUAUCCUCAUGGUUCUUCUGAAUAUUCUACUUCUGCAAAAAAGAUAGUGAUUAAUUGACACUUACUAACUUAAUUUUACUAUGGAGCAUGAAAAAAUUUUUCUUCCUAAGUUCAUCAUUGCUAUCAUGAUGAAAACUCUCAGCCUUUUACACACUCACAACUUGUUUUAUAAGUUACUAUUUCCUUGAUCUACAUAGAAAAUCAAAAAUCUGGUCACAAAUACUGACUUUAGAUUGAAACUUGAUUGAUCACGUUGCCCAAUUUAUCUCACAAAGAUAUUCCUUCUGCUAGUCUACUUAAGCACUUUGUCAUUGAGCAUCUAUCAUUUUACCUAACCUAUGUCCAAUGCUGGCUUCACAAAGCUCUUAAAUGUUAAUGAUUAAAUCAAAGAUUAGGCAAAAGCUUUUGCCAAUAAUGUGAUGGACAUUAAGCAGUGAUUAAUUCUAGAAUUUUCUUUUUUUUUAAUAAAAAAUGAUGGAGAGGUUAUGCAUCUUGAGGGGAUCAAGCAUGUAUCAAGAAACUUUGUUUCUUUAUGACUGUUUGAUGUUUUCAUGUAUGGACCAAUUGUCUAAACUUCUGAAUUGUUGAUGUAAAAUUGUAUUCCCCUUUUCUUAAUUUAUCUUCUUUUGUUGUGAUUCCUAUGGUGUGUACUAAUUGUUGUACCUAGGAGUAGCAAUCCAAUCAUUGUGAGAAAAUUGGUGUGGUUGCUGAGAAUUCAUAAUAUUCAAAAAUCAUUGACAACCCAAAAGGAUGAAAUAUGACUAAUGGACUAAGUGAGAAAAAAAAUUAUACAGGGGAAAAUGGACUGAAAAUAUUAGUUGAAUUGUUUUUUGAUGUGCCAACAAGGGGACAUAAUGAACUAAAUAGUGAAAUGAAAAUACUGUUCUCAUUCAAUAAAAUUAGAAUAAAGAACUGAAAUGUGGAAUGAAACUUAUUUUCGUGCUUGAUGUGAGAAGCGAGAAUCAAGGUGAGUGGAUGAAAAUUAUCAUUGAGACAAGUGUUGAGAUUAUUCAGGUUUCAUUUCUUCCACUUGUUUGAACAUUUCCCCCAUAAAAUGGUGGAGAUUAUUCAUGUGAAUGAUAAUUUUAGGAUGUGAAAUCUGCGAAUUGCCUUAGUUUAACUAUCAAAAGGGCAAGGGUGGAAUCAGACAAAUGAUUUUUACAUUGGACCAUUGAGCCUCACAUAUGCUAGGAACUCAUGAAAAUUGUAAUUAAAAGUACUCAACGCAAUAAACAGUAAAUCAAGAAUUCAAAGAGUUCAAAUUGUCCUGAUUUUAUUUCCACUAAAGUGAAAAGUUAUUUCUAAAUUGUAUAAUUUAAUGUGAAAAAUAAUCUAUAUUUUAACUUGUGUUAAAGAAAGCAGGUCAAAUAAGGAAUCCAACAUAGCAGAUCUGAUGGUUUCGAAUUUUUAUGUAUUUUACAAGGUUUACCAACAUUUUCUUGCAUUAUCCGUCACAUGUGCAGUCCAAUACAGACCACUCAACUAAUUGUUGAGAUGCCUGUUCGGCCCAUUAAGCCCAGCAUAGAAAUAGGGCUUUCACCCAAAAAUGGGGCAUCAGGAAAGAUCAAAAGAUAGAGCACAGGAGUCUAUCUCUCUGCCCUCUUUCUGCUUACAGAAAUCUUCUAGAACCCAAGCUGCAAAUUCAAUGUCUCCAAGUUUCUGCAACUCCUGAUAGUUAUUUGCGGCUAAAUAUCUUUGAAAAGCUUCCUUACAAUCUUCUUCCUCAACAGCAAGAUUCAGCAUCCUAUUUGAAGGCAUGGGUAUGCCUCCGUAUUUCUUGAACUGCUAAUAAUUAUUUACCGCUAAAUAUCUUUGAAAAGCUUCCUCGCAUACUUCUUGCUCGACAGCAAGAUUCAACAUCCUAUUUAGAAAUAGGCGGUAGAAACAGCCUACUUCUGUUGGGUUUGAAUUUCUAAAGGCUCUCUAGGAUCACUUGUCUCAAGAUUUGGAGGCUAGAUAGAGCUUGAACAUCCAGAAAGGGGAGAAAACCCACAUGAAGAUAUAUCGUGCAAGGAAGAGAGUAUGAUCCCACAAAGCCGCCCCCACUUGAUCUGCUUAUUGGGCGAUAAAAAUAGAAUUUUCAUUCUCUUUGGGGGGCUCAUAUUUUAUUCUGGAUUCAAGCAACCAUUAUCAGUUCAAAGGACAACAUUUUGGAUCAUUGUGGAUUCAAGGAUCAUCAAAAUUAUUUAUUGUGGAUACAAGCCAAUGGGAUUUCGCAGUGAUUUACUUAUGUUGGUCCGUUGAACUUCAUCCCCCAAUUGACAGUUUUGUAUCCACUAAAUCAUGGUUGGUUUUUGAGGCAAGAGAUUUGUGUUUGGAGGUCAACAUCAAUCAGAAAGAAACGGUCGAGUGACGUGUCCUUGGCGAUUUCAUUAAAUGGACGAUAGAAAACACAGCUUUUGUUUGAGAUCUUCGUGAGAUUAUUCAUUCUGAUGUUCUUCAAAAUGUUUGGUUAGUGGGCUUUUUGGUAGCUACACAUGCAUCACUAUUGCCCACGUUCCUAAGAUUCCUGAGAGAUUCAGGCUCUUCUUCUUCAUGCGCCAUAAAUGGGAGGUUAACGAAUGCUGCAGCCUGGGCCCAGACUAGCCAGGGGAGUGCCAAUAGUGAUCACCGGCAGGAGGAAGAACAUUAACAGUUGAACAUCAAAGACGGGGGCGUAAAUGGGCAGGGAACAGUGGGGUGGAUAAAUGCGCUGCCACCUGUGGUCCAUGUGGACUACCACGUGGGUUUCCGAGCCGUUGUGAUGCUAUUUCCUUCAUUUAUUUCUUUAAGGGUCGUUAUUUCUCUAGGAGCUCAAGGCGACUCCCCGUGAGAAGAUGAUUUCUGUUCCAAUGGCUCUGCGAUGCGGGAACAGAUGACGAGGGGCGUCCUUCGAUUCAUUCGGCGAGAGAUCUCGACCGAUCACACUCGAACAGAAGUAAAAUGCCAUCCUUUUCAGGUACUAGAUACAAAAAAGAAGCUAAUUUUGCUCUUCUUCUGGGAAGAAAACAGAGACUCAGCUGUCUCCCCUCGUUGGUUUUCCCCAGGACAAGGGGGAAGUGAGCUGAAAACGCGCCUCCAGGACGAACACCAUGUACACGAUGAAGGAAUUGGGCAGGAGAACCCGCAGCCGGAGAGGGGAGAGGGAGAGAGGAGAGAGGAGAGAUUUCUGACCUUUCUCGUAUCCCUCGUCCUGUUCGUCGUGGUUGCUGGUUCUCGUCGUCGAGGGGGGUUUGCUUCGGACAACCCACCCUGGCUGAUCUUGUGUUGUGGUUUUCGAAGAAUUUGAAGAAAUGGAAGAGCAGGGAUCUGUCCACGGAAUGAAAAAACGGGACAUGUUCAGGGCUCCACGUCGUCCCAGCUGAGGUCCCCGCCGCCUCCGGUGACGACGAUGGCUGUGCCGUUGUUGAAGGCGGGGCACUGGUAGGACGGCCGAGAUCCGUCGCCGCCGGCGCUGGCGGGGCAUCCGGAGGGCCCCACGGGCAGCGGUGCCAUGCAGUUGUAGGAUAGGCAGACCGUCACCCCGUCCGGAAGGGGCGGCGAGACGGCGGCGCCGGCCACACCGCCGCCGGGAAUCGGAAGUGGAGAGUCGAGUCCGGAGAGGUAGUUGUGCUGAGCAUAGAGCGUCGUCAUGGUGCCCGCGUAGAGGCUGCGAACGAACUCCGACGGCAGGGUCCCCGUCAGACGGUUGUAGUUCACGAAGAGGCUGCCGGCCGCCGCCAGACCCCCCGGAAGGGGACCCGUCAGCUGAUUGUGGCUCAGGUCCACCGUCCACUUCGCGAUGGCUCCCGGCUCGACGGGCUCCGGUAUAGGGCCCGACAAGCUGUUCCGCUGCAGCAAGAGCACCGCCAAUGGCGGUGGCACCUCCUCCUCCGGGGGGCGCCGUGGAUUGAAGAGGGCACUGGGUACGGGACCGGAGAAGCCGUUCAUGGAAAGGUCGAGAAAAGCGAGGUCGGGAAAUGAGGCGUCGAGGGCUUCGAGGGGACCCGACAUUGCGUUGUUGGAGACGGAGAUGUAGUGGAGAGUGGCCGGGAGAGGGCGAGGAAGAGGUCCGGUGAGGUUGUUCUCGCGGAGGUCGAGAUGGAGGAGCGGGACGGCGACAGGGGGGAUUUCCCCGGAGAGACCGCCGUUGGCGGCGAGGAUUACGACCCGGAGGCUGGGUAGAGCGAGGAGGGCCGGGGGAAUGGCACCGGAGAGGCGAUUGUGGCUGAGAUCGAGCGUGUGGAGGCUGGGGAGAACCCCUAAGGAGGCCGGGAUGGGGCCGGAUAGAAGGUUUCCGCUCAAGGAAAGGAGGCGGAGCGAGGGCAGGCGGGCUCCGCCGAGCGCCUCGGGGAUGGGCCCGGAGACGCGGCCGGGGGAGAGGACGAGCUGGGUGAGAAGCGUGAGGUUGGCAAGGGAGGGUGGAAGCGUCCCGGCGAGGCCCGGAGAUCCUGCAGAACCGGCAGAUCCGAGGGUGAGAGACGUCACCCGGAGGGUCGCAUCGUCGUCGGCAGGGGAGCAGACGACGCCGGCGAAGGAGGAGCAGGCGUCGGAGGCGGCAGACGGUGAAUCCAAGCGCCACGAGGAGAAGAAGCCCGAGCCGGGGAGGUCGCGGAGGCUCUGUCUGAGGUCUAUGAGCACAUCAAGGUCCCCGCUGGUCAGACGAGCACCAAGAGCCAGCGUCUCCUGCGGCCGCUGCUGCGCGGUGGCCAACCAGGCCCCUCGCGAGACCAAGAUCACGGAGAGUAAGAGCGAGAGAAGGCUCGCCAUGGCAGCGUGAAGUCGCCCGCAGCGCGAUGGGGUCCGCGAGAGGAUUCUCUCUCCCACAGGAAGCCGGCGGAGAUGGGCGCGCGCGAGAAAUGUCGGCCAAAACAAAGGGCAGCCGCGCUCAGUCACAGGCUUUGUAAAGGCGCGUUCUUGCCAGCAGGUGUGGGGGCGGGUUGGCUCCCGUUGCCUAAUCCUCCUCUGCGUCACUAGCGUAGCAGCGCGGCCGCAAUGAUGGCUCUCACAGGGGGGAGGGGGGGUUUACGGUCGUCGUACAGCGGGACGAGGGGGCACGUGGUGGAAGUUGGACGGACGCCGAAUGGUCCUGCGCCGUUGCAUGUUUCCAUGUCCCUUCUGUUGCGUGACGACACGGCCAACUGGCCGAGAAAAGACAAGGCAUGCUUGCUUGCUUGCCUCGCCUCGAUUCCUUUGCCCGGGCCGACUCCCCGGCGGCUUGCACACGCGGCACGGGGGUUUCUGCUGCCCAGGUUAGGUUCCGCGCUUGGAGAAGAGGUGGGUGAACAGCGACACACAGAGGGGUGGAGGGGCCGGCCUUCCGGCCAGGGAAUGGAUGUCCCGGCAAGAACAGGGAGAAUCUGUGGAGCCGACGCCCGCCCGACGCGGGCUCGCCCGGCGCGCAAUGCUAGCAACUGCAGCAGGAAUUGGGGAACUAAGCCAGAACGGAGCUCGAGCUCCCUCCCGAGGGAGGUCUCGCCGGAAUUUCCAAGAGGGGAUCUUGGAAAGAACUCAAAUAUUGGAAGUCCCUUGGAGGCGGGGGGCCGGUCGCCGACAGGCCUUUUCGAACUCGCGCUUCAAAAUAUAUCAAAGUUGGAUUUGUUGGAACCGACUUGACGGUCUCAAGCUCUUUUCACUCCCUCGUCACUGCUACUGCAUAGAUUAUGCCGUGCUCCGUCCUUCCUUGACGGGGCCUCCCCUGCCCUCUUCCCUCCCCUCGACUGGCGAUGCACGGCUGCGCGCCGCCGGCCAUGGCAUCCUCCGAGCCCUUCCCUACCCGGCCAGCUCGGUGGAGAAGCGCCAUUUGCGGCGGCGUGUCUGGGCUUCUCCAGUAGUCAAGCCUGUUGGGGUUCAGCUUUGUUGGCUCUCGCUCGGACCAGGGUCAAACUGGGUCCGACUCCACCUAAUAUUUCACUCAAUAUUCUACUUCUAUGCAGAUGGGUUGGUGCGACCCAUCAUAAAUAAUUAACCCGCUUGCUCAAAUCUGCUCCUUGCGGAAGUCGAACCAGCCCGACCUUAAUAAAAUACGGCCGACCGAUCUGGUGAUAAAAUACGGCCGACCGAUCUUUACUAUUCUUAGGUGCAUAGUAGCAUGUGCUAACGGCCAUAUUCCACGGCUGCCUAGGCUGCUAACAUAUUGCUUUGUUCUUAGGCACAAAUCCUAACCCAGGUUUGAAGUAACGGAGACUGAUUUUAUUGUUUUACAUGCUCUGAGGGCAUUGGUCCAACGGUGGCUGGUAAUGACGCUCUAACAUACGCGAAGACAGAGAAACUUAGCAAGCUCUGUCUGGGAGGGGAAUCACUCCUGGAUGAUGAUUUGAGUGGGUUAAACUGUUCUUAAAAAAAAAAAUGGUAGAACGCAAUGAGAAAAUAUCGGCAGCAUCAAAUAAGUUUAAGGAAAAAUCGGAAAAGUUUUGCUAUAAUGGGUCCCAGAUAAGUGUAAACGUCAGAAAAGCUUUGGUAGUUUUGCCGACAGUCACCGCUGUUCAUCGAUUUGUACUCCAUUCAAGGUAAAACCGGAAAUGAAGAACAACGAUGCGAGCUGGUGAAUAAACUCUGUUAUGGUAUGAACCCCAACAUGGCUAUUAAAUGAGCAUUCUUAUUGAGGAUAAGAUAUCCUAUUAUUGAGGGCAGCCCCAACAUGGCUGUUAGCUCGAAUCAUUAACAAAAAUGUCGUGGAUGUCACUCCCCUGGUCCCGGUGAUAUUUAUGCCUGUCUCUCUCCCCACCAAAGUGUCUGGAACUUUUGGCAUAUGACAAUAGCUCGUGGGCCUGCCUAUCUCAUCUUUGGUUGGAUCACUCUCCGCAAUUCUCGCGGAAGGCUCUUCUUCUUCCUCGACGUCAGUAUACUCUCAUCUCUGCCAGACGGCUCUCCGAACACCGACAGCGGCGAUAAAUGCGAAUAGGGAGUUCUCAGCGCAUUGCUUGUUAAUACCCCAUGUGGGGUUAAAACGUUUGGAAGAACGCGGUUGUGUGAGUAACUCACAGUAGUGGUGCACUGACGAGAGGAGUUACUCGCCUGCAUGGAUCCUCAUCAUGUGGGCAUUUAAGCGCUGCCGCUGCUACUGCCAUCGUAAAGGACCUGACGGCAGGCCGCCGUUCAAGGGCUCCGACCAGUCGGUCGCCGAGCAUAGAUGCUGAGACGCGUAUUGUUUUCUGUACUUUGCCUGGAUGUGAAUUGUGGCCGUCACCGCAGAAGAAAAUUCGCCGUUUCAGCCUCCCAAGCCUGAAAACUUGACGGCGUACGUAAAGCGCCGCCGGUGGAUCAAGAAUGGAGCAAGUCUUAAAGGUCAACUGAGGAGUCAGCGUGGCUGUCAACGACAACGAGGCGAACGUUUGAAGGGGGUGAAGGGGGAGAAGGGGGGGACCUUGUUGAGUGAGCAGACAACCACAACGGUCUUCAUAUUAAAUGCCAUCACAUGAUCCGCUCUUGGCGCGAUGUAUGAACUUAUAGCCAUCAUUGCUUGCCGGUCACUCUCGCAAGUACCCCCCGGCACAAGAUCAGUCAGUCUUUCGGCUCUUCCCUUUCCCACCCUGCCGACAAGGGAGAUAAGGCCACGAACAUGCAUCAUGAAACUCUCUCUCUCUCUCUCUCUCUCUCUCUCUCUCUCUCUAUCGCUGGUAUCUAUUCAUCUUUAUCCCUGCAUCUCAUCUCAGUCCGAGUCUCCUCAAGGAAGGCCACACACAUCUCUCUCUUUCUCCCUUCAAAUCCCUCUCUCUCUAUCUAUACAGGUCAACGUGCCGACGCCGGCUUGUCUUCUACUCGUCAAGUGCGAGUUCAGAUGGGGAGGGGAUCUUAAUGAAACCUACAGAGUUCAGAACGCUUCGUGCUUCUUCGGGUUGCCUCUAAAUACUGGAGACAGCGACCUCAGUAAAUGCCAAAACGGUGUAGUAAUUGCACAAUGGAAGAGCCGAGCAGGGUCACUGCUCUUCUUCAUGUUGCUGACAACUGACGCGGGGUUCUCUUCGAUUUUUCUUCGUCUUCUUUCUUCGUAGCAUGACAUCACUCAUAAUGGUCGUCACCUCUCUCUCUCUCUCUCUCUGCCGUUUUUUCGUAGGCGGUGGUAUAAACCGUCAGUUGCUGAAGAGUUCCCUAAAAUAGGAUCAGAGUUGACUCGCACCGAAGUGUCUACGCCCACCUCAAAGCCUGAUAUCGUUGACUACAGAGAGUUUAACCAAGUAUAAGCCUGAAACUUCAGAAUUUUAGGUACGAUACCAACUGUCUCCCUACUGCUGCACUGCAGGCUUCCUGUUCGUCGACCCUACUCCAAAUUCGCAGCUGACAUGGCCCAGCUAAGACGCCUCGAAUACGGCAGGUAGUUUCGUACGGAGAGAGUACCUCUUACCAUUGCCAAUGGACUGAGUAGGCUCAUAGCUCAGCUUCGGACCGGACUUGGGUUUCUUCGUGCGCCAGGGUCUAGAAAAAUCAGGUCCUAGAAUAAGAGUAGGCUCUCCAAGGAACUGUAGGGGAGCCAUCAGCCUGCCUCCGCUUGCCCGACUCUAGAACGUGCUCUGUUGCCUAAGUGGAGACCCCCCCCGCCUCCUGCCGCGUAACCCGCGUUGUCUCCAACAUCGGCGGCUGAUAAUCCGCCUGCAUGGUGGGCUCUCCCAGGGAGGAGGAGGAGGGAAGGGGGGGAGACGCGUCGCGCAGAGUUUCACUUCAAUUCAAAAAAAUAAAUUUCAAGACUUGUGAAGAAAUUAAGGGGGGGUAGACUCGGAACGGUAAUGGUUUUGAACGGCUAAAUUGUAUUUAAUGUUCGCUAAUAAUCGAUUUCAUUCGUUCGCUGCGGCACAAGGCGAAAGAAGGGCUGGAAGCGUGAUGGACGCACGUAUCCGGGCCAUCGUCGACGCCAUCCACGCCAGCCCCUCCCAGGCUGUCAUCUACCUCGCCGGAGGUGCCUCUCAGGUGUGUCGGUCUCUCGUUCUCUGCUUCUUAGUUCCCCUCCCUGCCGCCGAUUCCCGACAACUGCAGAAUUCUGAAAAUGGCUGUUUUUUCGAUUGCUGCCUCCAGGCGCUCGGGUGGCUGCUGUCUGUUCCAGGAGCUUCUAACACCGUUCUCGAGGCUUUGGUUCCCUACUCCAAGACCUCCAUGUCCCAACUCCUCGGGAAGGUAACUCGUCGUCUCCUUCCCUAUGAAUAAUUUUCCCUAUUCGGCAUCUUCUUUCAUCUCGAACCCCGACAGCUUGUUUGCGUAUCCGUUUUAGUUUUCUCCUUUCGAUAUGUUCGGCCUGUUGUUCCAUAUUUAUCUGCCUCUUACCCGAGGAACAUUCAAACUCUGGAAUGUGGUGCGUCUGAUGGAAAGAUAAAAAGAAUCGUUUGUCCGACUACGUUUUGAUGGGGGAAAGUUUGUGAAUUAUUUAUUGAUUGAAUGUCUUGGGAUCGAACUCAACUAUAGCCUGAUAUGGCGAGAAUGUUUAUGCAACCCUGCCAAGUUUGAAUACACCUGAACCAUGUUUGGUUCCUUCGGAGUCAUUAGAUGCAACCUCUCGUUUGCAGGAGGAUGCUUUUUCCUUGAUCUUCUCAGUCUUAUUUUCUAUUAGUGGCUUCGAUCCAUUUCAAAGAGGUGGUCAUCUCAUGCAUCACAAACUUUAAGGUAUUUUGGUUAGGCAUCAGGCCUAGCUUUUCUCCCUAAACCGCCAUUGAUAGUCCACUCCAUUAGGAAAUGCAAAUCAGGCUGUGUCUUAUUGAUAUGGUGCAUCACUGGUUCCCUGGCCCAUUUUGUCUCACAAACAGCAUACAGUAAGUUUUAAACUAAAAUAGCAAAAAUAACGGACGAAUAUCUGAACAAGAAUAAAUUUCAAAGAGUGAAAACCUUACCAUAACCCGCAAUACAAACAGGGAGGAUGAAGAAAACAAAUGCUAUGGAAAACCUUACUACAUCAUCUUCUAAUUCUUUUUUAAACCAAGAAUAUUAAAAAAUUGCUUCUUUACUUGUUCUAUACUUUUAAUGUAUUAUUGAGUACCUCAGGUGGAUCCUAUCUCUGAAAACUGCAUUUAAGGUUUACAGUCUAGUCGUGUGCUACCUUAUAAUACUUGCUGGUUCACUUUAUUCAUAUGGGUUGGAUUUACAUCACUGAGGCACUCUUUGACUUAUGGAAGUUGUCCCUAGUAAAGCCCUAAACAUAGGUUCUUCUGAUCCAUAUCUCCUUCUUCACAAGUUUUGAUGUCUUAGCAAGGCCUGUGCAUAUAGUUUAAAAAUAUGUAUACUGAUAACUGGGUUAUGUUAUCACCAAACCAAUUUUAGAGCUCAGAAAAAGAGUUAUCUAAAAGUAAUAUGAAAGAUAUCUACCACUUUUGAGUUUAGAAUUCCUCUUUGUCACAUGACUGCAACAUUUUUUAUUAAAGAGGAUUGUUUUCUUCUAUCAAACCCAAGAAACGACAGAGAGCAUAAAAAAAAUGAAAGAGUAAAUAUGAAGAUUUCAUGUUAUUGCAUAUUUGAAAUCACACUUCUCUGUGUGGCUUAUAUCUUGAACUAAGCACAGAUUUCUGAUGUUAAAAGGAACUGCAUUAUUGUCUUGUUUUAGCAUAAGCCUUAAAAAUUCUCACAUUAUUGCGACCAUUUUGGUAUCUUAGCUCAGCUUAAUCACCUUUGUAGGAAGUACCCAGUUUCUUUAGGACAUGAUGAUUUGAUGCUAAACUAGGUCUAGUUUCUGUUCUUCUAAGAGGCUGGAAACAUAUAUAUUCUUGUACAAGGUGUUUCUAUUCCCGUGUGUUACUGCUGAGAAAUGAAGGCUAUCAAAUCCUGAGAGGACUGCUACAGAGAUCAACUAUGAAAAAUGUAUGAUCUAUUCAUGUACAAAGGCAGGUGUAUCUUCUUGGUUAAGAGUUCAGACAACAGUAUCUCCUAGGAUUAGGGUCAAUUAGGGGUAAUGAAAGGAUCUUAGAUUUAUGAAGAAACGACAACAAGAAAGAUCUGAUAUCUUUGCAUAAUCUUCUCAGUUAAUAUAAUAUAGCAGAGGUAAGGGAUGGUACUAAUGCUUUCCAAUCGACAGAUACUGUGUUUUCCUCAUUCAAUUUUAUUUGACGUCAGUACUUUUUGUCUUGUGGGAAUAUAUAGUUUAGCUAAUUGUAACCUGAAAUGAAUUUUCUUCUGUUGGGAGCUCACUGUUACAGAACUUCAUAGAAGUGACUAUCAGCUCAUGUACUGGAGCACUCCAUAGAACUGCUAGAUUUUAGACAAUAGGCAACAUGUUAUAAUGAUUGGAUCCCGCCUCAUCUCUUCACGAGGUUAAAUUGCACAACCAUGCUACCAGCAAGGUAGUCUACUCAACAUGUGAAUAGUGCAUAUUUUUAAAAAGGCUAUUUCUGGUCCAAAACUAUGUUGACUGAAAUUUUGGAACACUUUCUAUGGGGGCUCAUGUCAAACACCACGACAAAAGGAAAGCUUAUCCAUAGUCAUGGGACCAUCUAUUUUAUACAGGAAAACACAAGAUUCUGGGGGAAGACUCAAUAUGGUCAUGACAAUAGAUGAAAUAGUAUCAUUGCACUGGGGCGAUCUAUUUCAGUAUCUUUUCUGUAGUGUAUGUCAUAUAGUUUCAUUUUAGAUUAUUACUAAGUUACAUUACAAUGUGACCAUACUUUAGUUCACUUGCUGUUCAAGUUCUUGGUCAAGUAUUGUAACCUGCCAAUAGAAUUUACCCAUUCAAUUCAGUGGUCUGGGUCAGGUGAAGAUUGACUGUCUUGAUUGGACCAUAUGUUGUGGUGUAAUGUUUUCAUGUGAACUAUCAAAUAAUCCCCCUCUACAAUGGUCUUGGGUUUUUCUUCAUAUUGAAUCCCUCUGUAACCUCCCAUGUCCUCUAUAUGUUACAGGCCCGUUGGCAAAGCUUAUUGUACAAAUUAUCAUAUUAUUUCACCAGAAAAACACUGUUAAAAUGGCUGAAAUUGCAAUAUAUCAUAAAAAUUAAGCUUAAUGACUAGGGUCGUUAGCUCACUGCCAAAUCUCUAACUCUGCAUACAGAUGGUAAGAAAUACGGAGUUCUGCAAUUAACCCUUAUACCUUUCACCAAUUCUUCAGUUUGUAUGUUGCUUGUAUGUAUUUACCAUCAGUUGUCAAUCUUUCAGCAGAAGCAAGGAGCUCAUUCUACAGUACUCAGAGAAAUAACCCUAAGAAGAUAAUAUUAUAAGCUGAUUGCUGUGUUAAUCAUUCUAUGAGUAUGGUGUUCUGAAAAACAGUCAGUCUCUUUUGGUAUCAUCAUAAGGCAUGCAAGUAAAAUAUCUUGCAAUUUAUUUCUCUCUUUCGUCAAUGAUCAUCCAAGAGGAGAGAACAGAGGUGGCAUUUUCUAGCCAUAGUAUUUUCUGUUGUUUUUUUCUUCUGCACUUUGUUUCUGGACGGCAACAUUGGCCUUUGUCGCCACUUUCAACAUAAUUCUGUCAUAGACUGCUUUGAAAUAAGAAGUCACAAAAAGAGCAAGCCGUUAGAUUAUUGCCUAUCGAAGUUUGUUCGCAAUAUCAUUAACACUUGCAUAGCAUUAGUUAAGAUGAUCUUCAGCAUAACUUUUUUGAUUUAUCAUCUAUUUCCAUCAUGUCUUUCUUUUUACCUUCACUUCCUUGGAUUAUCCCAUGAUUUUUUUCCUUUAUUAUUCUAAUAUUGCAUCUCUUUUUGUUGAUGUAUGCCCUUUUCUUUAAGCUUGCAUUCCUUCAAAAUGACUGCCCAAUGGUUCUUUAAAUAUUUUUUUAUUUUUCUCCCUCGUCAGUUUGAUUCUGCCAGUCUGCUCCUAAUUUUAUCUCUUCAGGCCAGUCUAAUUUGCAAAUUUAUAGCAAAACAGUAUGUGGGUGAAGGUUAUGUCUUUCUGUGGGCAUUUUAUUCGUUCUUAUUCACAGACAAGUACAGACAUACUGGACAACAUAGAAAGUAGAAGAAAUCUAAGGUCUCAUGCCAUUAAAAUCAUGCAUCAUUAAUAAAGUUUACUUUAUUCAGUUGGCUGAAAAAUAUGAUAGACGUUGACUUGGGUAUGUGUAAAUUGCCAAAGAAAAUGAUGAUGUUAAUCAGUAACUUUGAAUGAUAAAUUCUGAUAAUAGAAAGUGGUUGGUCGUGGUAACUUAAAUGAAAGGAUUUCAAUGUUACAUAUUGUAUGUGGGAUUUGUUACUCUGUUUCCUACGUAAUGAAUUUUAGGUUCCUGCGCAUUUCACUAGCCAAGAAGUUGUAGAAGAAAUGGCAAUGUUGGCCUACAAUCGUGCAUUGAAGCUGUCUAGACCAGGUUCUUGUUCUUCAAUGGUUUUCUAUAACACUAAAUCAUAACAGUGUUUUUCUACUUCAGUUAUCUGCUUCAUUCAUCCUUUCAUACCUUUCGUUUAUCUGAUAUCAAACGGAGUUGGCUAAAGUUUCAUUCUUUUGGCUUCAAAUGAAUUUCUCCUUGAAGGCAUUGUUGUUUAGAUUUUUUUGAAGUGAUGUUACAAUAUUGAAUAAGUUCUUAAUUCAUUAGUUUCAAUUUCAUCAUGUUGAUAGAAAAAGGGGAUGAGAAGACACCAUAGAUGUGGAGAUGGCCAGUUUUUCGAUGAGAAGACACUUGUACACCUGGUACAAGUGUGCUUAGGAUACAAAAUUAAAGAUAAAAUAGAAAGACAGAAACACCCUCAUGUUCUUGGCAUUUUCUCUCGAUAAAAUUAUGGAUACUUAUCAUGUUGACCUUGCACAAUGUGUGUUGAAGUCACCUUGUGUAAAUCUGUCAAUCUAAAUAACUAAACAUUGGCCAUUUUGUUGAGGCAGAGAUAGGCAGUGGAAGACUAGCACCAAAAAAGGGAGAGUACAGGAGGAGGAAGAGAUAAAAUGAGAGAAUAUAAAUAGUCUUACCAUGGGCUGUAAGGCCCUUGGUACUUAUACAUAAACCCUUAGAGGUAAAAUCAUAAAUGAUAGAAAAUAAAUAGAGAAACAGAAGGGGGAAUAUAUCUGACAACACUCCCCCUCAAGUUGGUGAAUGGAUGUCAUCCAUGCCCAGCUUGCCACAUAGUUCGUAGAAGCAUAAUGAGGAGAGGUCCUUCAUGAAGAUGUAUGCCUGCUGUUGAGUAGAUGGGAUAUAUGGAGUAAAGAAAUCUCCUGUCUUGAGUUUUUCCUUAAUAAAGUGGUGAUCCACUUCGACGUGCUUCAUGUGGUCAUGCUAAACUAGAUCAUGGGUGAUGUUGAUGACUAAUUUUUUGUCUCAUAAUAGUUGAACUAGAUGAAUGUAUGGAAGUCCAAUUUCAGUCAAUAGUUACUUGAUCUAAAUAGCUUCACACAGACCUUGAACCAUUGCUUGGAACUUAGCCUUUGCACUUGACCAAGCAAGAAUUAGUGAGCUUUACUGACUCUACUUUUAUUUUUUUUCACCCUAAAGGAAUGAUUUAUUUGGGUUCAAUGGCUUUGAUAUUCUACUUUAUGGGUAGAAAAGAUACCCGAACAUUUUUUUUCUUUAUCUACAGGAAAUAGUGAUGUAGUUUCCAUUUGCCAUCAUGAGAUCAACCUCAAUAAGGAUCAUCUUUCUGCCAGAAUAUCUAUUUAAGAACUAUUUAAAUAUUUUUUGGCUGUCAUUAUAUUCAUUCUCUUUCAUAAUCUAUGGAAGGUGCAUUAGCUGGUGGUGGAACAACGAUCAAUUUAUGAGCCAGCAUAAUCUGUGUCCGUGUUGACCUCCAGGCAGAGUUGAGCAUCCUGCCAGAAGAGUAUCUUGUGGCCCACCGUACCUUUGAGGUAACAAUGUGUACGAGUGGCAGCAUGGAGGUGAGGUGCUUGAGGAGCAUGCAUGAAUUGACUCAAAAUGUUGAUCGUGUAGGCAAUGUUGGGUCGAGGGUAGGUGAGAUAGAUGAGCUUGCCGACCAACUUCUGAUAAGACCCUUGAUCAAUAGGUUCCGUAUUUGCAACAUCUACCAAGCGAUGAUUAGUUUUGAAUGAAAGUAUCCAGUGGUUGCGAAGCUGAUUUGUCAAGUUCUUGAAGAAGGUCUAGUGUACUUAUACUAGCAGAUAAAGAUACCCACAACACUAUAAGCCACUUCUAGUCCCAAAAAAUACUACAGUAAGCCCAGAUGUUAGAUCUCAAAUACCAAGGCCAAUCAGUGAGCAAGAGAUUGAGCCUCAAUAGUGUCGCUCUUGGUGAUGAUGAUAUUGUCAACAUAUAUUAAGAGGAGAGUGACUCCCCCUAACAAGGAAUGGUGAUAGAACAUAGUAUGAUCAUCAUUACUUCGUUGAUAACCAAAAGACAUUAUCAAGAUGGUGAAGUGACCAAACUAGGAGGGAGGUGACUAUUGAGGCAGUAGAGCACCUUGUUGAGCUGACAAACAACUAGAGUUGACAAGGAGAUCCAGUAUCCAGGAGGAAGUGUCAUAUAUAUAUCCUCUUGAAGGUCCCCUUACAAGAAGACAUUCUUGAUGUCGAAUUGCUGCAGGGCCCAGUCAAAGUGAUGAGCCAAAGUAAGGAAAAUACAGAUUGUGUUCAUCUUGGCUACUAGGGCAGAUGUCUCCUGAUAAUCAAUACCAUAUUAUUGAGUAUAACUAUUGGCAACCAAAUGAGCUUUGUAAUACUCCACGAAGCCAUCAGAUUGAUACUUCAUGGUAUACACUCAUUUGUAGCCAACAACAUGUUGUCUCAUAGGAAGAACAUGUUAGCAUCAGGUUUAAUUUUUCUCCAAAGCCAGGAGCUCCUUCGCCAUAGCUUGAUGCCACUCAAGAGUGUUUGGAGCUUCAUUCAUGGUGCGAGAGAUAGAAACAGUGUCAAGGGGCAUGAGGAAGGCAUGAUAGGAGGGAGAAAGGCGAUGGUAGGAGAGGUAAUGUGCCAAGGGUUCAAGAAUUUGAGGAGGCUGGGGGGGAGUAGGGUGAGAAAUUGGGACAGAAGAGAUGGGUGGACUCAAGUCAGAAGUGGUGGUGGACUCAGGCCAAAGACUGUAGGUAGAUGAGGGGCACAUUGGAUGUAGACUUGGCGACCAAAUUGAUGCAGUGGUUAGGGGUGGACAGAAGGUUCAGAGGCUGGGAGGGUUUCAGAGGGAGCAGAAGGUUUAGAUGUUUUGUUGUAUCAUGUUUUUCUGUAUUUUUUGAUAUUUUUGCGUACCUUGAAAUUGCAAUAUAACUUCAUGUACAACUUCAUUCAGACAUCUUGGAUAAAAUCUUAACCCAUAGGUACCUAUCAAUUUUAUGAGCUAUUGCAUAAUAUUUUGUUUUUGCACUUGAUGAGACUCACAAAAUUUGCAUCCCUUCUCAAAGAGUAUAUCUCCUAUGAUCUUGAGUACCACAAUCCAUUACUUAGAACUAACUGAUUUAGUAUAUCCUAACAUUCUUCCUAUACCUUACCCAACAAGACCUUUUAUACGAUUUAGAAGUAGUCAAUCCCUUUUCUUUGCAAGAAUAUGAAUGAAGUUUAUUUUGUGACCCCAGUGUAGAAUCCUAAUUCACCCUCCUUUUGAUUCCUAUAAUGACUUGGGACCAACAUUAGGUAGAUGAUCAUCAAGCUGAAUGGCUCCUUUCUCAGUGAUAAUAUCUUUUUUUCUUUUCAUAGUAAUCGCCUUUUUGAACUUCAGUUGAAGGAAUAUGUAGAAAACAACGCAGAGGUACUUAUCAUAUGGUUUGCAGCUUUAAAGUUGAUAACCAAAAGUAAUGAUAAGAUGCAUAGUAGCAUUGAGGGCAGAUUUGUUUAAGAGUAGUUUGAAGUAAAGGUUUGGUGGCGCCCUUAUAAAAUUUUAUUCAAGUUUGAGUCAAUCUUCUGUUUGAAGCUUGGUCAGGAUGUUAAUGAAUGAAAUAAGUUAAGUAUUCAUUGGCCGAUGCAUACAGAAAAUAACUUAUGGUGUAUGCAAAAUUUGAGGUAGAACUUGAUUUUUGAUCCCUGACAUUAAAGUAUCAGCACUUGUGUAAAGUGUCAACUGAUGAAAACUAAGUGUGAACAUUUGAGGCAAAAUAGAAACUGGAAAAAAGCAGGGAGAAGCGACCCCUAUACCUUAGGUGUUGACACUUGGAUAUGUGUAUGAUAUAAAGCUCAAAAUUGUCAGCAUGUAUAUAAAGAAGAAAAAUAAGUUUCGAAGGUGAACCCAUCAUGAGGGGGGAUCGUCACACAAUUAUAGCUUGUUGACUAACAGAUUGACUGCUAGCUUUUCCGAGUUGAAUUUCCAAUUUUUACAUCACCAUGCUUUGGCUUGAUUUAGUUUACCUAUCCCUAGUUUAUUACAAUAAUGACCGUAAACUUAGGAAAUAUAUGCUAAAUCUUUAAAAGAAGGGCUCUUGGGUUAUUGUUUACAACACUAUUAUGUUUUUGAAGUUCAUGGGCUUCCUAAUGAUUGUCAACUUUAUGCAACUUUAUGUUCUCUUUUCCUUGGCUUUAUUUUUUUCCUUUCUUUCUAAUGUUUGCAAUACGUUCCUUUUUUGGUUAAAGCACCUUUUUUCUGACCGUGUGUUGCCAUAUAUCAUGUAUUUCAGUUCUGAGCUGAUGAACAAGGGAUACCUUGUUUUCCCAGAAAAUCUCUUUUUGAAGCUUCCACGCCUCACAUCUGUCUUCAUAGAAUCAUGCUAACAGAGAUAAUUAACUCGGAUGUCAUAAUGCUGUUUUUGGGAAGCCACUCGUCAUCUUUCAAUUCUUCUUACUUUGGAUAUACAUCUUCCUAUUUAUGUAUCCUUAUUUACCAUAUAUAUUGCUGAAAUGAUAGUCUGCCAUAACCCAGUGCCAACAGACGACAUGCUAUUAAUAACACUGGAGUUUCUAGAUUAUCAAGGUUCCCAUCACACCAUUUAACGUGAAACUCUGUCCUCAAGAACAGUCAGCGCUUGUUGAUGAAAGAAGAGGGUGAUACAACCUGUGGCAGGCCAUUGGAAAACCUUUAGCCUAAUCGGCCUAGAAGACAGGGCAAAUAGGACCAGCCUUGACCCCUUCGCCCUGAGUGAGUAAGUUGCUAAAUUGUGGGCAGUACACAAUUAGCAGUGGAAAGAAAUAAGAUAAAGUUGUCCCCUUGGAUGGAAACUCUGGCAGUCAAAAACUAAAAAAGAGAGAGGAAGGCAUGAUGGCCCUCUUGAUCUUGAUGCUACAAUGUGUCUCAAACUCCCUCCUUGAUAUGUUUUUGUUACACUUCUUCCUUAAUCCAUCAAGGCAAAUCUUCUGAUUCCAUUUUCAUUGAAAAGGAAAAGAUGAAGACUCUAAAUGAGAGGUAACGAGCGAAAAAAUAGCAUGCCUCUUGCUUAUAUGUUGGGUCGCAUCUAGCUUCUAUUACUAGUUUUAAUUCCUAUACUGUGGCGGCUUAUAACUUGCACCUCAUUCCGUAUCCCACGAUCACCUAGUAUGUCAAAAGCCUAGGAACUUCUUAAAAUUUCUUGAAACACGGACCCAAUCUUUUUAUCAAUAGGGUAAUCCUUUAACAGAUGGUAUACACUUACACUGUCUUACAAUGGGCAUUAUGGGUAAAACCUAAUAAGUAAUUAAAGGAAAAGAAAAAGACAAAUGCCUAGUUAUGAAUAGUAUUGCACAAUUUCAUGCAGGUAUAAAAUUUUUAUUUCUUAAUAAAAUUAAAAAUUUUAAACAUUAAAGGUUAAGCAUGAUAAGUGUAGUGCCAUGAUGAUGCUAAUAAUUUUGAGUCUUCACAAGAGUUGCAUUUUUUAAUUGAUAUCUUUUAUAAUGGCAAUUCCAUGAAUAGAAACUAUUAAAUAAAAUCUGCAUGAGAUUAAAUUUUUAUCACCCCCCCUUAUUUCGGUUUCAAGGAUAUACUUUUGGUGACGGCCUAACCAUUAACGUGGAAUAUAUAAUGUUGUAUAGCAGUCAGAUUCAAAUUAUAAGUGCAGCUUUAUGGAUGAAUAUUUGUUAACUUAAUACUCAAAGUUCACAUCCUUACUUUAGAUUUAUCCACCUUUUCCCAGGUUUCGCAACUGUGCGUCAUGGAUGUUACUGGAAACAGGAUUCCUCUAAAUUCUUAAGAUGGCACUGGUAUCAAAACGGAUCAAUACAUUUAGCUACAAUCGAAUCAUAACAAGCAUAAUGGAAAAUUCGAAACUGAGGGCAGGAAUUGUGGCCGACUCAAAAUUGAAAUUAAAAACGAAGCUGAACUGAAAGCAAUGGAAAAAUAAGUCUAGCAUAUGACUGACAGUAUUUGCAUGGUUACCAGGAAUUAAGAUGACACUGCUUGUAGCGGAAAAAAAUAUAACUCAUUUGAAGUAGUGUUCAUUUGCCUCAGGAAUCUGAUGGUGGUAAUAAUUUACAUUGUUGUAUUGUGGUGUAUUUCAUAUUUGUGUUUGUAUUUAUAAAACCAUUGAUUUUAUAAAGAUUUCCAUGUAGGUUUUGUGUGUGGAUUGUAUUCUUGGUUGCUGAUCCAUUGUAAAGAUUAUUGUAUGUUUUUCUUUGGAUUUUUGUUUUGCAUGAGUUCCCUAGAUGCGAAUUCUUGUAUUAAUGACUCACAAAGAGAUUUAGUGGGUUUGAUGUCCUUGGACAAAAUUUGAGGUAGCAUUUCCUAGUUUCUUUCUGUUGAUUCUGGCUUAUACUUGCCUUUUAUGUUUAUUAACUGUUAUGCUGUGAAUUAUAAAGUUUUAAAUAUUGUAUUUCAACUCAUGUCAUAGUUAAACAACUCCUUGGCAGGUUGUCCAGUUGUGGGUGUGGGCUUUUCCGGCUCUUUAGCUAGUGUAGGUCCAAAACGUGGAGGGCACAGGUAUUGAUUUUCUGUCUGUUUAUUCGUUAGCAUAAUAGAGAAACUCCAGAUCAACUUGCUUGCACGUAAUAGUUCCGUUUGUGCACACUUCUUCACAUUCAGUUUCAAAUAACAUAUUUUACGAACUAAUUUUAAGAAUUCAUCUAGAAACAUCACGAACAUCAUGAACUAUUAUAUGCUAGUUCUACAUUUCUUUUGGUGAUUGAUUACCAAACUCUUUUUUCAAUGAUGAGCUUAUAAAGCUUGUGUAUCGAUGUCAUUAUGUUGUCAUUUUAAUAAGCAGUGAUCUUACUGCCCAUUUGGGGUAGAUAAGUAACUUGCAUCUACGAACUGUUCGUAUUGGAAGUGGAAAAUUGCGAAAACUAAUGUGUACAUGAAGGUGGUUUCAAAACUUUCUAAAGUGCCAAUUGGAGAAAAAUGUUUUUCGAUUUACGGUGGAAAGGCAUUGACUUUACGCCUUGAGUAUGCCUGAUAUGAAUUUUAUAUUUAUUUCCUAGAUGCUUUUCGCUGAUUGUCACUUAACAUUACAAGGUUUAUUUUAUGAAAUAUGCCAACAUUUUUCAUAUGCGGUCAGGAUGAGCGGGAGCUUGUUCCCUGAAUUUGUGUCUAUUUAUCGUUAAGUAGCUCUACUGCAAUCGGCCAAAAGCUGCCAACCUUCUACAUUUUGUGCAUCUUACUUCUAGAAAAAUUUUGGAGACCUGUGUAGCUAAGUGAUUUGUUCUUGUUUGGAAUGUCUACUCUUUGUCAGGGAUGGCAGGGACAGAAAUGGAUUUGUGGACUUUUCCAUACAUCAUAGUAAUAUCUAUCGAAAAAUAGUGAGAUUUUCUAUGGAUAUGUGAUGUUUUAUUGGACUAUAAAGGUCCUUGACGGAUGAAAUGAGGAUUCAUCACAGUCAACUUCUAUCGUUCUAAAUUACUCAAUUUGGUAGAAUGUGCCCUUGUGAUUACUUUAAUGGUGAUGUCCAUUUGAUGCUGUGCUCCCAAUCCUAUUCUUUAUUUUAGGACCUGAAUUCUCUUUUCUGCUUCAUCAUAGAGUAGAUUUCCGAAUUCAUGCUUAUAUCUUUGUUUUCGGAUUAUUUUCUAGUUUUUUCGAUUCAAUCUCGUCUACGUAAUUACAUUACAUGGAAUAUUUAGUGUUUUAGUAUCUGCUGCUUAAAAAAUAGGAUUACAUGAAUUUACUUUCCACUUCAUUGUCAGGACCAGAAAACAUCCGGUCAAACACGACCGUCUACUUUUCUUUUAUCCAUGAAUUCGAGUUAUUACAUUCUGUUUGCAGGUUUUUCUUAUCAACAAGGACAUCCGGUCGUCUGUGGGCAUCAAAUGUUACCUUAUGUAAGGUACUUAAUUCGUCAUCCAAACUGUCUUUCACUUUCUUUUCCUGGAAACCUUGCAAAGUUUCUGAUAUUGAUUAAUUCAUAUAGGGUCUGCGAAGUCGCGAAGAAGAAGACACGAUUUCUAGCAAAUUUUUACUGAAGGUACAAGUUACUCAAACGUACCUAUUAUUUUUUGGUAUUUAAAAAUAUUUAUUUAAAUAAAUUUCCUACCUGCCUAUUUUUUGAUCUUUGCAAGAAUUUGUAAUACCACAAGUGUUCUAAAAUUUACUCAUUUUUUGCAUUAUCACUUUUCUGACUUUUCGUGAUUUUGGAUUUGGAAAAUAAGCUUGUAAGCCAACGGGUGGUUUAUUGUUUAUAUCAUCUAAAGAGGGUAUUUUAGUUUUAUUAUCAAAUUGGUCUGGUUGUGACUUUUACCAUUUAAUUAUUUAGUUCUGAUGGCUCUAAUUUUUACCCAGAAUAGAUAAAGUUCCUGAGCUGGUGCAUACAACUGUAGUUCCUCUUCAAGUUUCUCUUGCUUGUUCAAUGCUUCAUUCACAGCUAUCAACUUCGCUAUUCCUGGAGAGAGAAGUGGGGAUGGUUUGGGUGAUUUUGUAGCUGAAUCCCAACCCAACAUUAUUACGCCGAAAAGUCCGACCUUUAACAAAAAUAAGAAUUGAAGGUAGACUUGAACCAGAAAAUUAAUGUGUCCGAACUCAACCCAUGCUACAGGCAUAUGCAGCAUUUCUUGCACUACAUUCUCAAUCCCUAUAGAAUUCUUUAGAUUUAUCUUAUUAUUACAAUUAGGUAGUCAUAUUUGCCAAACAAAGAUAAAGCAUUCCAAUUUGAGGGAAGAGAUUUUGUACACAGAAUACUGACACUCUAUGCUUCUACUUCCUACUCACUCUUGUCCUUCCAGUCUGAGGUGAUUCUACUGUGUGUUUGUCAAUUUUUCUUCUCUUUGAAGGUCCGUGCCAUGGUUUAAAAGUUAACCACUUUUCAAUCGACAGUUCAACUGAUGGCUUUAGUUAGUGUUGAUUUCUCUGGGAAGCCUCUGGAGGCACGAUAAUGAACACUAUGGAACAUUUUCAUAUUCGUUUACAAAACAUUUCAUGUUCAAAUCAUACAUUGUAAAGUUUUAAGUCAUGCCCAAAGUUGCAUCUUUAACAUGAUAUUUUAGAUAUUCGUUCUCUUUUCUUGUUUUCAAAAAAUUGGAUAUGCUUUUUUUUUCCUUUUGAUUAUUUCAUAGCAUUUCAAAUGGUUUCUCUCCUCUUGUUUAACAUAAUAUUGGUUUGAACUUUCUUCCUCGUGUUCUUAUCAUAAUACUUCUUUUUGUGCCUAUUAUGUCUAAGGCUAUUGCAGAUGCAUGCCAAGUUUGUGGUACUUCUGACAAGGAACUAACUGAAACGGAAGAUUCACAUGAAUUGGAAAAGCUGUUUGACGAGGAUCAAGAGUUACAGCAGCUUAUAAAUGGGGAAAUAUGCAUGAAAGCAUAUUCAUUUGGUAAUUAUUCAAAGAUUCCAAUGAGUUAUGUCUACAUGAGAAUAGUUAAGUUUUCCGUUUUGGAGAUAGAUCUUCUUAUUCAGCCGCAUGAACUUGCAGAUACUUGUACGUACAGUUCAGAUCAAAAGAUUAUACUUUCAGGAUCAUUUAAUCCAUUACAUGAUGGACACCUAAAGCUUUUGGAAGUGGCAUCAAGGUUAACAAUUAAUUUUAUGCUUCCGCAGAUAGAUGCAUGCAAGUUAAUUGGAGAUCCUUAGUAUUUGUCUCGAUCAUUUCAGUUGUAAAGAAAAAAGCUGGAUCUUUUUCAGGAUUUUCUUCAAAGACAAAAUUCAUCUGCCAUAUGGAUGAGACUCUAUCUUGAUGAUGACCAAUUAUUAUUGUGACAUCAAAAAAUUUAGCUACAUAUAGACACCUGUUUAUGAUUCUAUCAUGAAGUCAUCUCUUCUUACCUAAUUAACAAUGUGAGAACAUGCAUGAUUAUGAAAUAAUAAACUUGUUAUAUCUCUUUUAUAUCAGCUUUUUAACAUUCUAACUAUUUUUUAUUUUCUGUAGUAUGCUUUGCAAUAGGGUUCCGUGCUUUGAGAUAUCAGUUGUAAAUGCGGAUAAACCACCAUUAUCAAUAGUUCAGAUCAAAGAGCGAGUGAAUCAAUUUAAGAAAGCUGGUGUGUUCUUUUCUUUCGCUACUUGUUUAGUGCAACAUAUUUAGUUUUAAUUUGAAUGAUUGAUAAUGAUUAAUAUUUUAUAGGAUUUUUUACAUUCUGUGUAUUUUGUUUAGAUUUACGUCUAGUAUUCUCACUUCUAUUUAAAAGACCAGAUCCAAUGUGAGAUACAUUCUUCAUAAGAAAUGUUGGCCCAGGCAUGAUCAUUGGCACUAAAACUAAUAUAAUGAAACGAAAAACAUAAAUCGAUAUGAUAAUUUAAAAAUACUAAAUAUUAAAUAUUAUGGAAAAAUUAAGACUGUGUAACAGAAACCAAUAAAGGUUUAAAAUUCAGGUCAAUGAUUGUUCUCUUAUAACUCAUAACCAUGAAAUGUAAGAGCAGGCGAUCGUCAAAAAAGUAUCGGUAACGCAUGAGCAGACAACCUUGCUUAAAUACCAUGUAGAAACGUCAGCUGUCAGAUUACAAACUUCACCAUUUAUGAAUUAAAUAGUAAAUAAUAGGGAAUAAUUAAUACUGUGUUGCCAUAAACCAUCAAAGUUUAAAAUCCAGGUCAAUGAUUGUUCUUUUAUAACUCAUAACCCCGAAAAUGUAAAAGAAGACAAUUGAUGAAAGUAGUAUCAGUAAAGCGUUGGCAAACUAUCUUGAUUAAUAACAUGUACAAAAGUCAGCUGUCAGGUUACAAACUUCAUUAUUCAUGAACUAUUUCUGUUUUCGCAUAGUACAUUCUUUAAGAUGCUCAAUGAUUGGAUUACUGACUUCCCAUGUUUCGCAUUGAUAAUAUUAUAUAAAUUGCAUGCCAAGUUUUAGAUUACUCAUUUUAUCACAUCUACAUUUCUAUUUUUUUCACAAAUAUGUUCAAGGCAUUGCCUAAAUGAUGCAUUGCCCCAGGCUUCUAGGUUCACCAGUUGAGAACCUGCUUGGGUGCUCGCCAAAGUUGCCUUACCUCUGUUCUCCAACUCAUAUUGUUGUCAUCGUAGCUGCAAAAAACUAUUUGCUCUGUUCCAUGGCACAUGCUGUUUAACUGCAGUUGAAUGGACGCCAUGUAAGCACAAUCUAGUGGUGAUUUAAACCGUUAAGAUGAUAUUUAUUGCAUAUAUUAAUAUUUUAUAAAAAAUUAUUUAUUAAAUGGAGUUAAUUGUUUUAAAAAAUCGUGUUUACUUAUUGUUCUGAUUUAUAUUAGUUACUUUAAUAUUUAGAUAUUCCACGCGUAAAAUGUUGCUUUAUUUUAAGAAAACGGAAUCUAUUCAUAUAGCUUAAAGGAACAAUGACUGUCACUCAUUCAAAUUAUUUAUUUUAGAUUUUUGUAUGGUAUCAAUGCUCUUUGACACCCAAAGAUAUUCUUUUAUAGCCAAAGAGAAAAUACCUAGUUCACUGACUGUUAUUGAUUGUUUCUUCUACAGUUUAACAAUAAAUUAGAGGUUCUUGCCUUCUUGGGUUCAUAAGUUUACUGUCUGGAGAAUUCAACAGUUUGAUUUGUAUAUGUGUAAACUAUGCGAUAAUUAAGUAAUUUUCGUAGUACCAUGGUGAUUCGUUUCUCUACGCAGGGAAGACAGUGAUUCUAACAAAUCAGCCGUAUUUCUACAAAAAGGCUGAGUUGUUUCCUGGUAGUGCAUUUGUUAUUGGUGCAGACACUGCCGCACGGCUUGUUCAUGUAAGAAAUCUGAACUUGCUGUGUGUGUUGUUCAGACAAUACCACUAGAGGCAUGUAUGCUCGUUUUUGUCUAUACUUCAUGGGAUUGAUAAUUAUCAUUUUGCUAUAUAUAUAAUGAUUUUCAACCCUUCAUGUUUUUCUUUCUUUGUUAGACCCAUUAUAUAUAAAAUUGUUUUGCACUAUAUGAUGAGAUGGAUUGCUUUAAAAAUAUACUACUAUGCUCGUGAGUAUGGGUAGAAAUAACAGUACGAUGUUAGCUAUUGUCAUACAUUUACUCUUGUUGUUGAUAUGAAAAUGGUUAAAACCCUUUUUGCACUUGUUGUCUCUAAAUUAUAGCCCAGAUUUCAAAUGGGUACAAAAAAUACCUUUUUAAUGGUGACGUGAACGAGGAAGUGUUCAUGACGUGGCAAUUGGGAAUAACAUGGGACUCAUCACACUUUAUUUCAAGCAUGAUUGGUAUGCUCGGACAGAGUCAUUGAUUUGAGGACUACCGUUCUACAUUCAUAAUUUUAAUGCAGCCAACAUGAUCCGUCUCUCUUUUGAGAAUGGUCGUCUAGUGGUCUUGCUCUUCUUAUUACAUAAGUUAAUGGUACGUUGAUUGCUGUGGAUGAUUCCACGAAACGGGGCAUGUUAAAAAAAUUUUCAAUAGUCAUUUGGGAUAAAAGAUGUGGGCUAUUCAUUCACUUCUUGGGUGAAGCGCAUAGAUCUCCAGUUCUAUUCUUUUUGAAUCACCGCAUUCUUGCAAAAUUUGAUUUAUGUCGCUUGAUCAGAGAACAUCACUGAACUUAAUUCACGUAUGGAAACUAAUCUUUGGUUGAAAACUUAAGAUCACUUUCUAACUUUUGUAACCUUUCUUAUCUUUUAAUUUUACCGGACCUGGUAUUUCCUAUACCAUAAAUAGAACUUUUAAUUCUUUGUCAUUUACACUUUACUGGUAUUCGUAAGAUUGCUGACUACCUGAAAGGCACUCCUAAUCAUGGAUUGCUCUUCCCAAGUGGGUCUCUUCAAUCCUUGAGUCUAUAGGCUGUUGCAGAUUUGUGUUGCUAUCCUAAUCUGAGAUGGUUUUCAUUGAUUGGUGUGGCUGAUAUGACAUUAUCUGAUUUCAUGGAAGUUCAAGAAACAAGAUUGGGUUACCAAGCUGUUAAUUGAAAUUGAAUGUAGAGCCGUGUACGAAACACGCUUUGAGGUCAUCUGAUUGUGUGGUUUACUUCUAAAAUUAGGUUUCCUUCUUAAUUGUGCUGACUUCUUUACAUGCUAACAACACAAGUGCUAUUCAGAUUGCUGAAAAUACUUGUUUCACAAGUGCACAAAGCACGUUGAAAUCAAUUAGUAUUACAUUUCGUGGCACUUUGAAAGACUCAUCUCUACUAUAUUUACCUUAUAAGGAGCAGAUUGUGUCUCUCUUCACAGAGGCUUCGAUAUCUGAUCUGCAUCAACCUCUUUCCACCGAAACAGAUGUCUUCUCGAAGCCUUUGAUAUUUGAUCAGCAUCAAUCACUCUCCUCCGAAUUCCUUCUAAAAGAGUCAGCAUCAGUUUUAGGGAGAGUUGGAAUGCGCUCCAUGUAAUAUGGGAUAGAAGGAGAUUUAAUGCUGUUAAUAAUGAGCAACUGGUUGGUUUCUGUUUUUAACCUUUACCCUAUUUAGGGAGAGUUGUGUCCACCUGUAUUCUAUUAUUGCUUGCUUCUGUAAAAUAUUAGUUCACUCUUUUGUUUAUACAAAGUCCAUAAAGAGGCUCUGAGAUCUCAUAUUGGGGCAGGACGCUAUGAUCCAUUGAUCUUAUCAUGUUUCUCUUUGUCCACUGUCAUCUUCUCACCAUUGGCACCGACUCUUUCCUCACAUUGCUAGCUGUAGUCCUGUUCAGAGCUAAGAUGGUAAUUACAAGGUCACCACAUCAGCUCAUCUUCCAUUAAGUUUGUACCUGCUUUUGAAUGUGGCAUAUUAUCCUGUUUACAUAAUAUAGAGCUGUUCUGGCUCUAUUUAGUCUCUUCAGUUAUUGAGUGAAUGCUGAGAGAAGCUGGAGCUGAGUGUCUGCUUUUCUAUUUACCGUGCAAGUCCCGUCACCGAAAUUGGGUUGACCAGAAUAUCGUUGCCUCUUUUCCUCUUCUGGUGGACUCAUCCCUCCUGUCUCAACGUUCUUCUUUUUCCAUUCAUUACAUGUGCCCUUGUGUGGUGCUGUGGGUGAGCAGAAAGCCUGACCAUAACCCAAUCCUGAGAUUGGGCUCUGCAAUCUGGCUUUCUGAUGCCAUGGGCAUUGUUUCUAUCUAUCUUUGGUCCCAAUACCACACCUUGGUUGAGAGGAGACUCAAUUUGUAGCUAGAAUACAUAUUCUCGGAGAAAUUAGACCAUUCCCUGAUGGUAGAGGUCAUGGAUGAUGCCUUGGUCAGCAGAGGAGAAGACAACAGAAAACAGAGACAGGCAUAGGUGGACAUCAAUCCACCGUGUAGGGAUAUUUUUGCCUCCCAAAUCCUGCCAUGCCCUCUUUAAUGUAACCAGUCAGGCACCUAGCUUAAUCACUACUAGGUUCUAUUUUCAGUUUUUUCUGGUUAUUUUAACUGCUCGAUUUAUUCUUUUUUUGCAUCAGUUAUGAAUGUGGAUACUACGUAAUUCGCUGCUUAUUCCUCUAACUAGAUGAGGUUGAGGGUUGUAGCAUGAAAUAAUUUUCUGUAGAUCUAUCAGUCCUUAUGUAAAUUUCUGUCCCUAUUCUCAUUCUUUGUGGAAAGCUCUCUCUUUUAGAUUCUGGGGUGAAAUCUUUUAUGAACUCAUACCUGUCUUUUUCAGCCAAAAUAUUAUGGAGAAAGCUAUCACCAGAUGAUUGAAAUCCUGAAUGGCUGCAAAAGAUUAUCUUGUACAUUCCUCGUUGGUGGUCGGAAAAUUGAUGGCGAUUUUAAGGUGUGUCAUAAUGAAGUGACCUCAAAUAUUGUCAUUUGACAUCACAGAAAAGACCUUAACAAAAUGUUUAUUUAUCAGGUUCUUGACGAUUUAACUAUUCCAGACGAACUGGUGGACAUGUUCAUCUCGAUUCCCGAGGACAGGUUCCGAUUGGAUAUAUCAUCGACAGAGAUAAGAAAAAACCAUGGAAUUUGAGUCCAUUCCUACUUCUAGCUUUGGAAUGUGCCCUUUUGAUGCGUUAUUGUAUGCAUCAUUUUAUCCUUGUUUCUCCAAUAUUUCUGCUUUCAUCUGUUGAAUGGAGUAUCCCCCGCUAGGCCUUGGUACACUUUCAUUAGCUUCACUUGAAAAUCACUAGUUGUCUUAUGGGAAGUUACACCUGUGUGACCUAAGUGCGUCACCACCUGCAGCCAUUGAACGAAGUUUAGUACACCAUAUUUUGCAUUACUUACCUUACUGUGCGAUCUUAUCUUGUGAAAAAUUCCAUCUAUUUGACAUGUACAUAUAUCAUACCAGUAAUAUUGAAAUCUUAUGAGGAAAAUAGUUAACUGUGUUCUGUAAAUAGGGAUCACCUACAGGUUUUCAUUUAUUCUUCCCAGCAAGUUAAAAUACCAUAACAUAUUGUACUGAGGAUUCCAUCUUUGAUUGACUACAUCACAGGUACUGUGUUUAUACGUCCAAAUAGUAGAUUCAUCAAUAUAUAAGUUUGUCCUAUUUUCCUAUUUGGUUUAUUCUUGAUUCCUAACUUGGCAGUUUAACGCAAAUAUGGAAUCCUAGUUAAUUUCACCACACUUUCUCUCUUUUAGUAGUGUGGUAUGGCACUUCACUAUAAGCCUACUUACAAUAUCUUUUUUGCACCUUUCAAUCUUCACUGGGUUAAUUAGUCUCUACGAAGAAGUUUUCUGGCACCAUUAAUUUCCUGUAAUCUGCUCAAUUUUUGUUUGAGUAGAGUUUACAUGUUAUAAUAGCCUUCUUUAGUUCAUACUCUAGAACUCUUUGUCGUAUUGUGGGCAAUCUUCAUUAUCCUCAAGUGUGAUAAUGAAUGGGCUAUUACAUCUAGUGCCCAAUAACUCAAGUUCAUCCAUCUUUCUCAUUGCCUACCAGUGUACAACCAUGCUCUCGUGAAUCUUACGGUACUUGGAACUAGGGAAUCUUCAGAAACAUCCUACUGUUGUUGUGUGCCUUCUCAAGAAGACUCUCUUUAGAGCUGCACGGUAAGCUAUCAGUUAAAUAAUAUAGUGGGAACUUAUUCCAUGCUUCUUCUUUAUGGUUGCCUCAUCCUCAAUGGUGCCUUCUUGUAGCUUCAUCCUCCGAUAUGGUCUCCUUGCAAUGGACCACACUAUAUCUAUGAUUUGGGUUUUCAAUUGGUCCAUCAUGAAAUUUUAUCAUGGAAAGGACUUUGAAAUGUAAAUCUUGUUAAUGAGCCAUGCUAAUAUGUGAGAAAGUAAAGCUACACCCAGUGAAAAACCAAUACUAAUACCAGAUGAAGACUUAAAAGUUGUUCAAUCACCGUAAAAUUACAUUGAGAAAAUUCUAUUAUGUUUCAGCCCAAUAUAAGCAAUGUGAGGCAAACUGAUUAGUACCUCAAAAUUUGAGGCUCGUGGCCUGAAGGGAUAAAAAUAUUGACUACAAACAUCUGAAGGCCCAACAUGACUUGAAGCCUAAUAUCCAAGCCAAUGGCCCAAAAUUAUGUAAAUAUUUUUGCCUAAAACUUGCAACCUAGGUGGCUUGAAAGAGUAAAAAAGUGGACUACAAGCAUCUAAAGACUCAAAAUGACUUUCAGUCCAAUAUCUAAAUAGUUAGGUCCGAAAUGUGUAAGAAAUUAUAGAAUUGUAAUUGUUCUAUUUUUCAGUAGCUUUGAUAUGAAGGUUUAAAAUUCAUCUAAUUUAUUGUGAUUGUUAUCAAGUCAAGAGGUGAUAAAUAGUAAUAUUGUCUUUCUCUUUGAGAUAUUUCUAUUUUCUUGUGCAAUCAAGCAAUCCAUAUUUAAAUAAGAAACAUUAGGUUGAUUCUUAUGGAUUCAAGAAUUGUGAAAAAUAAAUCCUCAUUGAUUGAGAAAUUUGGUACCUCAAGGAUUCAAGGCCUGAUUUCUUUACUUCUUCAACUUUCUCUAUGCCAAUUAGUUGUCUUUUAGAGAUGAUAAUUUGAAUUUCAAUAAAUAUAUUUUGAAAUUUAUUCAAAUGAAUUGAAAUUUAUCUAAUCUUUAAAUAGAGUUAAAACAUAGCUUAGAUAUCAAGUUCAAUCUUGCAUUUAAGGGGGAGGUAUUUAAAUUUUUAAUUGGAUAAAAGGUUUUAUUUUUUUCAUAUUUCUUGUAGCCCUAACUUAUUUUUAAAGUUGACAUGAGUGUAAAUUUUAUUUGUGUAUCCUUUAAAUUUUAUUUAUAUUUUAGUUUUUGGUAAUAAGGCAUUGACAUUUUGAACUGAAUUUGUUCAUGAUGUGUGAAAGGUUGAUUCUUUAUAUUCUAGGUUUUCUUUGGAAACUAAGUUGUUAGCCAUUCUUUUUAGUCAAUCACUAAUAUUAUAUAUAUGAAGUUUGUCAACAUUAAGAGAAAGUAAUGUAGUUAAGAGUUUUUAUAAAAUGUAUGGAUCAUUUCAAGCAAACAUCAAUACAAAUAAAGUAAGCAUGUCUUCAUAAAAUUUCAGGGCAGUAUUAAACAUUUUUUAUUGUAGAAAAUUAUCUUAAACCCUAGAGAGAUGAAUCAGAACAUUCUAAUAAAACCAUCCAUAGUAUGUUCAUGUGUACUUGUUUUUCAAAUUUUUUUACUUAUAAUUAGGCAUCUUGAAGUUUGGUAUGUACCUGUAGCUUUUUACAUCAUAUCUAAAAGUUGGUAGAGAGGAGAAUGAAUUUCAAAAAUAGCAAAGAACAAGAAAAUUUUCUACUAUGUUGUGGAGAAAAUCAAGAGAAUCCUAAUUAUAGAUAAAAUAUUGUGAAAAAAAUCAAAAUGAAAUCAAGAAAAAUAACAAUGUCUAUGAGAGAAGUUACAAAUGAUGAUGGGAAAUCUAUUACAUAAUUCUUCUCUCUUCUCCAAUAAGAUUCUUAACAUUGAAAAAGGAUCUUAGAGUGUGCCAGGAAGGCUUCUUAACGUCUUCUUUUUUCUUCCCAUCGGAGUUUUUUCACAAAGACUCGCCAUAGUAAGGGGGAAGGGUGGAACAAGCAAAGCACACUUGUAGAGCGCAGUACAGCGGAGAUGUCCAAUACUAUUUGGUAGCCUUUUCUAUUAUUUAAUUUAGUAUAAUGUCUACUAUUUCUUCUCUUCCUUUGUCAACCACUUAUUUACUAAGGGGUUGUGCCAAGUGUUAAUCCUAUCUAAAUAGCACAUCAUGGG
This 66592-nucleotide long non-coding RNA is filed under the name Spirodela polyrhiza (greater duckweed). RNAcentral's name for it is "long non-coding RNA (SPOL_LNC001157)". Lineage: Eukaryota; Viridiplantae; Streptophyta; Magnoliopsida; Alismatales; Araceae. The record is from RNAcentral.